CCUCGCCUCGCCGCCCGCGGGGCGGUGCUGUGCGGCGGCAGCCGGUCGGGGAAGCAAAGCGGUUCUCCCCGCCGCCGCACCGCCUGGUUCCCCCGUGCUCCGGAGGGCUGCGGGUGGGAAGCGCGCUGAGGUCGCUUGUAUAUACCGGGCUUGCUUGUGUGUGUGUCCGUCCCGCCUUUCCACCCCGAUAUCUUCACCCCCACCCCCCUCUAACCCCCCCCGGCGAGGAGUAAGUGCCACCGCUCCGCCUUCUCCUUUUCGCAAUGUUGACGCAAUCUAUAAAUAGUGGAACAAAAGGACCAACUUCCUCGCAGCUUUGCUGAAACUGCACAAAAAAAGGCAACCGAGUGGGGGGUGGGCUGGUUAUUUUUUGAUUUUAUUUUUCUCCGGUUAAAAGGCGAAUCCUCCCUCCUCCCCUCUCACACACGCGCUACUGGAAGAUUAUUUGUAUUUUUUUUUUUCCUCGCUGUCUCCUGUGCUGGCAACGUCCUGCGAGUGGCUAUUUUGCUUUUGCACCGAAAGAAGGGCUUUCCUCCCCUCCUCUUCUGACAUCGGAUCGGUGCAAGCGCAGGCAGUUACUGGCCGGAGGGAGAAUUACAUCAUCCCUGCUCCAGUGAUGCUACCUUUCGUGCCGCUACCAUGCGCGCAGGGAAACAAGCGGGGGCGCGCCUUCCCCCCCCGGAUCGGGCUUACGCCAGGGGGUUGGGGGGGGGAGGCGCGCCCCCGCGACACUCAUACACAUACACGCCCGCCCGAGUGUUUACAGCGCUCACACAGGCGUAUUGUGACGUCUCCUGAGUGACAGCCCGCCACGCCAACGGGGGGUGGCGCGGCCCCCGACGCCAAGGCAGGACGCGGGAGCCCCGCCCGCAUUUCCCCCCCCCUCCACGGGGACCGGAGCCGUGAACAUGGGGGGGUUGGGGAGCCGAGCCCAAGACGGAACACCUCAACAGUUAAAUCAAAUGUACACUCUCUAGUAUUGGGCUGGUUUACAUGAUGCCGAUUAAUUUGCGUUUAUGACGUUUUAUGACGUUUUAAGCGAAUACUGUACACUCGAGGAGCGAUUUCUUGUGAGAGAGGCGAGCUUGUAAGCGAGGUGUACUUGUAAGAGUGGGAUAUCUGUGAAGUUAAACCGCUGUCUUAAGUCUUGGGCACCCGCUUAGGAGCAAGCUGGGACGCGAGGAGCUGGUCUCCUGCCCGGGAAUAUGCCCCUGGUGGGGUUUGGCACAGAGAAAAUGUGAGCAGAGAAGCUGUCCUAGUGAUGGCCUUGAACACUUAAUUGUCCAGAGUGGACAAUAAAAAGCUGGUUUUUUGUCGGUGGUGUUGCUGGGUUUUUUUUUUGUAAUGGGAAAUAGAUUAAAGCGCUGAGGACAAAAAUCUGAAUUUCACAUAUCGUAUGCUUUCUCCAGUGUUACGAGUGUAGUGUUAGAGGGUUAUAAACUUGUUGCAAUAUGCUACUGGGUGGGGGGGGCGGGAAGUGAGGUUUUUUACUCAGUCUGUGAAAAUAUCAAAGUAGUACUUACCCGCUGCAAAGUCAAUAAAUCUGUAUCACACUAAAACCAACAAAAAGUGUUUUACAAACUGAUACUUGUCGAGAAUUGUUUGCCAGAAUGCAGCAGUGUAAAAUUAUUAUUACUAAAACAUCAACAUCUACUCACUGCAAAAUGCAAGUAACCGUGAAGCCCUGUUUAGUAGCACACACAGUUUUUAAUGUGUUAAUGGCCUGGGUUUCUUCAAAGUGUACUACUUUUUGAAGUCUGGGUGUUUCUAUUUGUGCAGAAAAUAGACUGAGAAGCUUUGAGCUCCUACUGUUACAAAAGUUAAAAGGAAACAAAGUUGAGCUGCUAAGUCGGCAGUCUGGAAUGAGUCAAUAGUAUCUCCUUUGUCCUGCUAGCUUUCUCUGCUGUGGUGUAUCUUUGCUCUAUUUCCUCUGCAUAAGCAAAUGAGCAUUUCUGCUCUCAGUAUAUUUAAUAGUUAGAUUUUAUAGCCUCCUGGCUUCUAAAUAUUCUAACCCACCAGUGAUAUUCAAAUGCAUUUGCCUUUCCAGGCUGUACACAACAGUUUUGAUACUGUCAAUGACAGCACGCUCGCUUCUUUAACCACAUAGAUACUUACACAUUUUCCACUAUCUAUAAUUAAUGUGGCAAAUUAUUCAUGCUUUGUUGUAGUAAGCCUUCAUAAGGAACAAAUAUAUAUUUUUUAAAGUAUCCCAUCACUUUUUGGUUUCCCCCCCCAAAAAAGAAAAAAAAAUUGUGACGGAGGCACAAAGGAGAUGUAAAUAACUCCCCUCCUCAUUUACUUGGGGAUUCCCUGGGAGUCUCAGAGGGCAAGGAGGUAACAUAGCUGGCUUUUACACCAGGAUCACAGGUCCUGACACAGGGUCACAGAGAAUCUAUGCUUGGCUAGCCCUGUGCUCCAGUUUUGUUUAGCUGGUAGCUAGUCCCUUGAGGCAUCAAUGUCAACUUCAGCAUGCUGACUUCUACAGGCAAUGGGCUGGCCAGUGACUGGGGGUUGUAACUGGCUCCUGGAGGGCUCCCUAGUUCUGCCGCACUUGGAGCCCAAGUACUGCUGCCAGGCUGAUGCUGCAGCUCUGGAGCUUGUCACAGAAAGGGAUCAAAGUGGCAACUGUAUAAAGCACAUCCCAACACUGUCCGUUUUCUGAAAAUAAAAGGCAAGUAGAUGUAUUCGGUGGGUUGGAAAAGCAGCUUGGGUAGGGACAUGGCUUACAGCCUAAGGCACAAGAACUGGAGCCAAAUCCCAUCACCAUGAGCUAAGUUCCCGUGUACCCCAAACCUGUUUUGCUCUCGAAUUCUGGCCUUGGGAUUGGUAUUAGUUGUUCUGUAGAUCUCUCAUACUCCCAGAGAUCAUAAAUGUUAAUUCAUUAUCCCACAUGUAAAGGUAUUAGUGUUCAGCAAAUAAAACAGGAGCAUACUUUCUCUGUAUUACAUACAUGUCUUAAAUUAAUCCACUCAGGAAGGAGGUACAUAUAUAUAUAUGUGCACACACACAUAUAUAUCUCCUCACAUUAAUAGCCUCUUCUGGUUUAAUAAUCAAAAAGCACUGGAGAAUAGAGUUGGGUUACUAGAGUAUAAAGAAAAGUGAAACUAUACUAACUCACUGGGAGGUUGUAGUUUUUACUUAAUUUUAUGCUACAAUACAAAGGCUCUUUAGGUCUGCAAGACUAAGAUUCUUACUUGUUUGUCUUGUUUUAUAAAACAUAUCUUGUUUAUUAUUGAUUUAUGUAGGCCUGCUUUACUUUUGAUUACCUGAAUUGCAUAAAUGAGUAAUUUAGCAUAUGAUUAUCUGAAUGACCACUCCUUUCCCUUUUCACUCUUGAAAAAGAUUAUCGGUCAGCUGCUUCUGUAGUGUUGUAUCUGUGACCAUUUUGACUCUACUGUUUGGUGUCUGAUACUUUUUAUGUUUUAAAUAUAAUUUUGUACCUCCCCGAGUUCUUUUAAAAAAUGAAGCCUCAUCAUUCCUAAUGACAGCAAGCAGUUUUCUCUGGUGGCCAUAAGGGCCCAUGCUACGAAUUUCUACUGCUUUUGUUCAAAACUUAAAACACUUUUCUAUCUUUUCAGUUGAAAAGGGUGUUGCUAUCUUACAUUUGGAAAUUGGAUGGAUAAAGACAGUAUAGUGGUCCUGGUUCUGCAAGCAGACAGUUCCAGUGUUCCAGCUUUUGCACAGCAGCACUUUAACAAGCAGCAGCCAUGCAUAACUAACAAGACUGCAAGUCCAGUUACUGCUUUUUAGAGGCCUGUACCCAGCUCUUGAGUUAUCUGAAAUGUCCAUUUUAUAUCGUUGGACUCAUAUGACAAAAGUAUUAACAGCAGGAAAGCGCAGGAGGUAUUCACAACGGGGAAGAUACAGGGGGAGGAAAAAAAGUUUUAAAAAAUAAAGCCAGAGGUACAGGAAGAAAGCAGCACAGCUCCAUCUAUCCUUUUAUAGUAACUGGUGUUUUAUGGAAAGUGGGAAAGAAAACUCUCUCUUCCUUCCAGCAGCUAGACAGUAGUGUCAUGACCCUUCUAACUGAAGACUGAUAGCGUACUUGGAGAAAUCUUUAUGCAGGUAUCCCUUCUAGUAUCUGGAAGUGAGAAGUAUUCUUUUCCCCAGUUCCUUCUCUUGAACUUCCUUCUGGAUUCUGAGUCUUAUCCUCUAGCUAUACUGAGGGAUGUCUAAUAGAACUGUUUUAAAGUUUGACAUUAAUGCUUCAUAAAAAGUAAUAUAUUUUUCAGAGUACUUUAAAGUACUGUAGUAGUUUUCAUUAAUAUUUUUUACAUGUACAGUUAACAGUCUCAAUACUAUAUAUGUAUAGAUGAAAUUAGCUCAUGAGGGCAUUACUUUAAAAUGUGUACGUAAUGUGUACACAGGACACACCUAUCACAUUAAAAAAGUGCUCUCAGCAUGGAUUACAGCUGCAAAUAAAUCUCUGAUAAAAGAUGAAUGGAAAUUAGGAAAUCAGCAGUAGUUCAUCAGAUGAGAAUAUGCCCUUUACACUGCACAAAGAAGUACAAAAUAAAUAUGCUGAAGACCAGGCAACACUAGCUGGCAAAACAAUAUUGAAACCACUGUACUUUUUCAGGACUCUUUAAUAUUCUUGUUUCUGGCUGAACAUGGUAUGUGCAUGAACAUCCUUUCUUAUAAAAGAAUAAAUUUCACAAAAAUUCCACUGUAUGACAGUGUACUGAUUGGCUGUCACAACUACUGACUAAAUAUUAAUUUUGGUAGUCUUUCCAAGCUAAAUCUAUGAUCUACUAUAUCUGGAUAGCUUGUAAAUGACUACCAACAAGUGAAACACCAACAAACCAAUCUCCUGACUUGCACAUUGUCUAACCUUGUUUGUAAAGAUUUUUUUAGUAAUUCACUUCAGUUCAUAAAAUUUACUUUUGUUAGUUGGUUAGAGAAAUAUUAGAUAGUCUCUUUUUGAUUUGGAGUUUAUUUCAUUUCAGUUUUACAACACUAAACAGUGCGAUAAACACUGCAUGCUAACUAGAAGGAGCUCCACAUCAGUGCAAUCACUUCAGUAUCGUAACUCCUGCAGACUUUUAUCCCUUACAAGCAAUGAUUUACAUACCAGUGAGGGGAAAUUAAAAUGAAGGGGAAGCUCAUUAUAACUCUGUAAGUGUACUUAGUUUCUGCUAACAUGGACUAGAUUAAACCUGGCCUAUGUCACAAGAACUGUGAAGGGUGAGAGUAAAGGGUCCUUUCUCGUAAUGGUCAUGCACAAUUAAUGCUCUCUUCACUCAUCAGAGAAAAUCAGACCCAAAACGGGAAGGAGGGUCUGCACUACUAUUUUUUCACCUUCACUCCCCACCCCCACCCUUUGAGCUGUAAAGAAAGGAUCAGGUUGCACUAUUUUAAAAGUUGGUGCAGUACGCGCACUCCCUCACUAUAUUGGAGAGGACUAGGAGAAAACCUCUCCCAGAGCUCCCUGCGGGAACGCUUACUGCUUCACAACGUCCCUUACUCAGGGCUGUGCCUCAUCAACAGCCCUGAGCCUUCAAUUAAGCGACGAAAACUUCCCCUGUAAAUGUACAAUAUUUUUAGGGACAUAGCCAAAUAAGAAUAUCAUUGAGCUAACUUACCUUUGACACAUGGUUUUGAAAGCUUCAAGCUUGACACAAGUCAUAAAAAGGAAAUUAUCUCAAUAGCUCAGCACUACAGGUAAAGUAGACCUGCAAAUAAAUGAGAAAAGAAAUUAAGCGACAGCAUCAUUUCCUGAACACACUUAAAUAAACUGGAUUAACGCAUUAAAGAAUAUAAUUGUUAUCUCUUUCAACCCACCAUCUGAGUGUAGAUUACUAGUUACUGUUCCUAUAGACUUCUCAAGUUAAAUCAUACAGCUGAUGUUAAAUCUGUACCAAGGUGGAAGAUGGACGGUGUUUCAGCCAAGGUUUGGAAUGGGUGUUCAAACAAGGCCCGUCAUCCUGUCUUGUACUCAGAAUUUCACCAAUGGCUUUUCGAUUCUAAGAUAGGGACAAUUAAAACUUGAAUCUAAGAGACAAAAUAAUGCUUACAAGACAUCCUAAGGCUACAUAUACUAAGGUUAUAAAAAGUCUAAAAUAACAUAAGAUCUGAAAUAAGUGUUCAGCAACAUUUUCUUUACCUGUGUAUUUAUCUUUUCAAAAUACAAAAUUCACAGUUCCAGAGGCAAGGUGCCUCAUUAGCAGUGCCUACUGAAUGUCAAAAGCCUAAUCCAGCUAGGAAGAUCUCCCUUAAAGGAGUUCUCAUGCUGCAUCAUAAAAGAACCAAAAACUAUGGUGACUGAAAUCCUCGCCAGUUUUCCACACUCUUGACAUGAGCUACAAAGACCCGAUUGGGAAAGGGCACUCACAGCCCCCCAUCUGACCCAGGGAAGGAUCCUUCUGUAGGAAGGGUGGAAGGAAGCCAGAAGCCUCCUCCUGUUGGAAUGGGGGAAGUCUCGCUGUGGAGAUGCUGGGCUGUGAGUCAGUGGCACUCAGGGGCCAGAAGAGCUCUAUCAUUAUGGCAGCAUCUGUCAAGCGGCCCAACGAUGAGAAGGUAUAAAUGCCACUUAAUCUUGCCUCAGCCAUUUCUACCUGAGCUCUGUGACUUUUAAAAAGAACAGAAGCUCAUUCCAGGUGUCAAAAAAAAAAAAAAAAGUUGAGAGCUACAGAUGAAAAGCUGUAUGUUAGAUCUAGGUAUUACUAUUGUAGUUGUUAAUAAUAUACAAUUUCAACACACAGACUGGCAGACAUUUCAAUUUAAAGCAAGAAUUAAAAUAAUGGUAGGUUGAGUCAUAUGACAAAUCUACAAGUAGUAGCAAAACUGUCCUUUUCUCAUGUGCAAGAUUCGUCAUUCUAGAGGGAGAGCCUGCUGGAAAUACAAGGGCACAUGAAAAUGGAGGGAAGGAUAAGAAAAGAAGUUUAAUGGAAGAUGCUGAGUCAGAUGACUGACGUCUUCAUCAAAUAAGAAAGCAGUAUUUUAUUUUCUGAUGCUGUGCAAACAAAUGAAUCAAAGCCCACACAUUCUCCUGCAAACCAUUUCACAAAUAUUCUACCUUUCUAUGCCCCUGAGCUCAGGAGUGACCAUGUACUGACCCCUGACAGAAUCCUGAUGCCUUUUCUUCAAUCCAGCAAGCAUACACCUCUAUAACCACUCAGGUCCAUAUGAGUGCUAUACGUCACAUGCUGCCUCCCCUCCCUUUAUUUUCUUAUAGCAAACUAUACCCCUAAAAACUCUACCAGCUUUUCUUGCACUGAGAAGUUUCUCGAUACUUUUAAGCAAUCAUGUGUUAAGAUAUGCAGAAACAUAUAAAACUAUAAGAUUAUUUCAGGGAGAGAUUCAGCAGUUUUUCAGAAACAAACAAACAAAAAGAAUACUUUAUUUCAUAGAAAAAAGAUCUUUUUCAAUUGAAAGAGGCAUAUGUUUAUAUUAUCACUGAAACUUUUGCCAAAAGGGGAAGAAACAGUAACUGUAGACAGUAGUUCAAAAGGAAGUUCUGUUAUGCUACAGAUCAAAAAAUUCAAGUUCUUACGGUGUAUAAAAUAUGUAAUCAAUGCUGAAAUUCUGUAUUUGCCUUAAAUACUGAGCUGUGAGCGUGAACUGCUCUUUAAUGUGUCCAACAGCCUUAAUGCUGAAACCUACACAAGGAGAUAAUUAGCACAAUAGCCUUCACCAAGCACAAAACUGAGAUAUUCUUUCACUGAAACUUCUCCAGCUCUAACAAAGAUGCCAUUCAAAAAAAAAAAAGGCUUUUCAAAGAUGCUGGACAUAGGCUGAUUCUUGAGUUAAAGACAGACAUCCGCUAGCCAAGAGGAAUAACUCAAACAAAGGAGAGACUUUCAAGUUUCAGACUUUCAAGUUUGAGACCCCUAGUUUGAACUUAUCUCUGUUUUCACACAUCAGUAGGUUCAGUGGAGUUAGAAAUAGCCAGCAUGUGCAAUGAAAACAAUCUCUAUCAGCGGAUACAGCAUGAACAUGAUAACAUAUGUUUUCCAAGCCUAGAGCAAUUGUCAAGCAAUUACUAUUUGUCAAGGCAACACACUUGAUAGUCAGGGUCGCCUAACCCUGGGUCAUCUCCUUCCACCUUAUUCCAAGGCAGACCUCAGGAACUCGGCCGCCCAGUUUUCUUUGAUUUGCUCGGAAGGUAAGUCGCAGGCGCAGUUUUCCCUGGCCGCGGGAGGCAGAGGCAGCGCAAGGGGUGCAGUCGCUGCCCCGGGAUGGUUUGUACAAGCAACAGCUGCUGGGGUUUUGUUCUGAGAUGAAGGAGGGCCCGUGCGGGUCAGAGGGGACUCCUGGACAACUGAUUAUUAACCAAGGCUUUCUAAAGCGCUCGCAAGGCCCAUAUUGUGUUUGUUUAGGACCCAGAACUGCAAGCGCAUGUUAUCGGCAGACUGGGUGGAUUGGUUUGUGUCUCCGAGUCAAAUUAUCAAUUCUAACUGCCUUUUAAAACAGAAAAGAGAAAGACCUCGUCUUGCACAGUCUGUUCUAGUACGAUUUUACAUUUGCCUUUUAUUUUCAUUUUCAAGGCCCUUAUUCAACCAAAUAUAUCGUCUUUACAGAAUAUUCUUUUUGCUACCCAGAUUAUUUCAUGCCUGUACUAUUUUUAUUUAAUCAUCUAUAUAGCUAACCUCUGAUUCUUAACUUUUACAUUUUAUGAUAGAAAACAUAAUGUUUUUUCUUUACCACAUGAUUCAGUCUCCCAAUUAUAAUUUGUAAACUAUGUGUAGAUGGAAUUCAAUUAAGAUGUAGCAUAAGAGCACUUCAUCGGUUAAAUAACUAUAGAUGUACAUAAUAUGUAAAAAAUAAAAGAACAUGUUGCACUGAAAACUGGUUUAUUCAACAAGGACUAAUCACUGUUAGUUGGUGAACUUAAGUGAUUGUUUCUGGUCAGCACGACCUUCAAGACUUAGAACUAGUACAUCUCAUCCUCUUACGGUUUUUGCUCAUGGACCCAACGAGAAAAAAAAUGAAAUUGCCUGCUUUUCCAUCUCCCAGCAGAUUUUUCGAUUUUGAACAUACCAGCCAUUAAUAUAAAGUAGAUGAGUAUAUUAAAAGAAAGAAAAAAAGUAAUCAGAAGUAGGCUUGGUGUUCUGUAGGUUAUCGUUCCAAGUGCUCUGCCACUCACUUCCACCUCUUCAGUGGUUCGACUUUCUCUAAAACUUCAGUAUCAAACAAUGUGUUGCAUAAUAUUCUUAUUGUGUAAUUUUAAAAUACUGUAGUAAAUUUAAACUUAAUAUGGGCUGCCCUACUUCCAUACUUAAUUUUAAGUGGUCUUGUUAAAAAACAUAAACAUUUAAUUUAAAUCAAGCAUACAUAUAGAACUCAUUAAUCUUAUAUUAAUAAUUCCAGGAGGCCACACAAGUAAUAAAAAACAUGGAUUCCUUCCUUUCCGAUUUAUCAGGCAUUUAUGCUAUAGUAUGUUCAAACAGAAUGGGCUCCUACUGUGCCUGCUGGUGUACACACAAAGUUAAAGAGACAGAGCCCUGGCACAGAGGUUUGCCUUCAUUUGCUCAACACCUGAGGUGCUAAAAGUAAAAUGCCAAGCAGGAGAGCCUUUUUAAAAUUAUUUUUCCUUUUUCUAAAGCACUGGCUGUUCAGGUGCAGAUUUACCAGGAGCAGGGGGUGAAGGGAUGCUAUGAAGGGCUUUAGAUUGUCCCUUGCUCUCCAUCCCUUCCUGUUCCCCUCCUCGUCAAGCUCUCGCUGGGUUCACCUGUGCCUGUCUACUGAACACUGGAAGGACUUUAAGCUACCAGGGAACUGAACACAAGCAUCGACCACCUUAAUCUCUGCUAAAUAUAGAGACUUCCCAUUGAAUUUCCUUGUCCCUGCUAAGUGGCUUAGGAGGAUAAACCUACUUUCAGGACAACUGCCCAAAUUGAAAGGAAGAGAAGGAAAGUUGUUUCUGAGAAUGCCGAAGGUGGUGAUCCCAGCUUGCUGCAUUUUGCAACACUACUUACAGAUUGGGCAUUACAGAUCUGUGGAUUUGAUUUAUUCGCUUAACAAGGAUUAGAGUAAAAUCGCUCCUCCCAAAUUACCAUGAUCGAAGCAACAAUAUCUCAUGGAUUUCCUGUUAUUUUUUCUUCCUAUUUUCUUUGGUGGGCUCAAAUAUUUUCUCUGUGCAGUAGAGAGAAUCUGAAGGCCAGCAUAAGAAACAAGAAAAGUCACUACUCAGAAUUACAGUGGUAGCAACAAGUUGCUAAAGAGACGAAGAUGAAGAAAAAUUGUUUUAGGUAAAGGCAUGAUGAAGUGAGGAAAAAGAUAUGAGGAAGAGACAUUUCAUUAACAUAUGCCAUAAUAUCUUUGAAAUAACACAGACUAGAUAUUUAGCAAAGUUGACAGUGCAGAAACAGGGAAGGACUGACUAAGGUUGGUUCUAGUUGGUUGAAUUUAAAGAGGGAAAAGUUCUUGAAAGCAUUUGUUUCAUUUUUGCAAGGACUGUGCAUAGGCCAAGAUUCAUAAACAAACCAUAUUUUAAGAAGACAAAAGAGGUCAGACUGGUUCAGGGCAGGCAUACACUUGGCCCAUUUAACGAUCUCCAGCAGCAGACAUAGGCCAAUUCACACCCAGGCCCGCUCUUGGACAGCAGCAGGACCAGGACAAGCACAUUUGAUAUUGCCCAUGGGCUCCAGCAUCCAACUUUGUUUUAGCCAGGGGGUGUUUCCUGAGCCUGAUGUGGUUUGUCUAGCUAGUGACCUUUACUAGAUCUCUCUUCCAAGGUCUUGUGCAGUGUCUCCUUGGAUCCAUGUGAACUUCUUUUAUCUACACUGUCCAGGCAAAGAAUGUCAUGAGUAUAUUACCCAUGGGCCUAUAAAACAAUAUAAUUAUUGUAUUAUUUGCUUUGAACUUGUCUACUGCCACCCUCAUUUUUUUCUUGAUAGAGGUGAGAAGUUGAUCCCUAUCCAUCCUUUUCACAUGUGAUUUUAAAACGUUUAUUGUUAUUUUGAAGAAGCAUUAUAGGGAUGUUGUAAACAAAGUCUCUGAAGCAGAGUCCGUUGCCCCUGUGCUGGAAAUCUAUUUCUUCUUAGCUCUUGCCAAUCAGCCACCAGUUUGCCUGCUAUCUGUGGCAGAUGCUGAAGCUGCUAUUGCACAGAAGUCCUUCCAAGAUCCUGGGGAAAUGGAAGCUUAGAUGAGCACAUUCUGAGAGAGCCAUUCUUUCCCACUGUUAGGGAAGAUGCAUUAGAGGAAAAGAUGCAGUCAUGCAUAUUGUGCUCUUAAAACCCUGCUGGCCUUUCCGCAAGCAGAAUCUAAAAGAAUAGUAGGGAGUGAAAAUGAAGAGAAGAAAAUUUGCCCAUGCACAGGAAUCAGCCCCCUUCUAAGAAAAAAACUUGCUAAGAACUAAAGCUCAAGGAAUCAAUGUAAAGUUUAUCUGAAAACUGAAGUAGAAAACUGAAGACAAAGUAGUUCAAGCUUCCUCUAAAGGAAGAGGACACUAUUCCUAAAGUUUGGCAGUAGACCUUAAGCAGGCACAGUUAACAUAAUAAUUCAAACAGCAGAAGCUUGUGAGACUUUUCUGUUAUUUCAGUAGGAGAUUUGUGACCCAUGCAAUAUACUCCUAUUUUCCCCGCUAUGUUUUACAAGGCACAAGAAUAUUGCUGAAUCAGGCAGGAAAUCCCAGUUUCUAUUAGUAAAAAAUUAUAUGGAUACGUAAGAUUCUUAGGUAAAAAUAUAAACGAAGGUCUUUCGGAAAUCUUACUACAAGGUAAGGUAUAAUAUAUCCCUGCAUAGAAGAUAGGAAGAGCAGCUGUUGCAGAAAAAUGCACUUUUAGAGAAAUUAUGUAAAGCCCAGUUAGUGUCAAAGCUAUUGAAGAGCCCUGUACUAGUGAAGUAGAGGAGGUUAAGGGAGACUGAUGAUGCUACAAUACUCAAACAGAAAGUCCUUUCAUUUAGGUUUGUAAUUCGAAGUGACUCUAUUUGACACAAAAUGAUCUGUACUGUUGCAAAAUAGUUUCUGACAGCAGAUUUGACGUAGGCAAUGCCCAGUCUAUCAGCUAUAAUCAUACUGGGUUUGGUUGCAGGAUCUGAUAAUUAUUUCAGAAGAGCAUGUCUGGCUAAGAAGGCAAAGAGAUUGUACUGAAAGUUUCACAAGACAAAGAAAGGUAAAAAAGAAAAAACAAGUGAACUGUGUUAUUAAACAGAUAAACAAAACAUAUUUUUCGGGAGCUCUCAGCGUUCCCCUAGUUAGAACGGGACAUCUAUCUGCGUCAGUUAUGAACAAGUGCACACUUAGGAGUCCUCAUUUGAAAAAGGUAACUUUGGAAGACAGAUCAUUGCUGUUGAGUCCCUGUGGCAAUGGUUAGAUAUGCUGAAAGUUAAAAAGGCUCAGAGCCUCUAAUGUUACCAACUCUAUCUAACGCCAAAGGUUGCCUGGCUUAAUUCAGAGCCAUAUGUCACGUAAAAGUUCCUGAAGAUGGUCUUGCCCCUCACUGGCUUGUUGACAAAGCAUGUAAUUAAUUAUUACCUUGACUAUCAGCACUUGUUUGGUAAGUCCCUGAAAAACAAAACCAAAUGUUCAAGGCAGAGGGUCCUGACUGAAAUAUUUACAUGGAAACAAAACAUGAUUUAACCAAACUGCUACUGGCUGGGAUCUCUCCCCUGGGAAGUAAAAAAGCUCUUGAUAAUAUGAUGUAUAAUAGCAAAACCAUAACCAAGUGUUUCAAAUCCAUGUUGCUGUUUUUUUAAGUCUGAGAACUAUUGACCAUAUAGUUUUAGACCUGUGUGAACUGAAUCAAUCAUCUGUUGCGGUACUACAGUUCAGUUCUUUGUCUUCUGAGACAGGCUGUGAUGAUGGUUACUUUUUCUGGGAGGAGGCAGGAGAAACACAACAGAAAAUUCCCACUUGGUUCAAGAGAAAGACUGAAGUAACAGCACUCUGUAAUGUAGUUCAGUGUUCAUAUGAGGAAUCUAAUGUCUUUUCUCUGCUGUAUGGACCCCUAUGUAAAAAUAGACAUCUUGCAGACUGGCAGUUGAAAAUCCUUGAGGAUUAGUGAUUGGUUAGGAGAUUAUGGAUACAACUUCAGUCUGAAUUUGAAAUAGCAAAGGAAAGUGCUGAGGCACUGAUAGUUGACACUGAACUGCUAUCCCCUUCACCCUCCCUGUAAUGUUGUGGAUACAGAAGGCUCUGUACUUCUGCACUUCUAACAGUGCAUUUGCUUCUGCAUUCAGUCAUAGAAGGGAAUCCAUUUCUGGUGUUUAUUGUUUCUCAUAAACCAGAUAGCUUGUUAGACAAUAAGAGAGAGAAAAGCCACGAGACCAACAAGUCACUGAACACUAUGUACAACACGGUACUGAAAAUACAAUCACUACUAUGAGAGCUAUAAAUACAUAAGGCACUCAACACAAAGCUGGUCACUAUCAAGGUCCCUGCAGGGACCAUGAAAGUAAUAAAAUAGGUCUUUUCAGGCCCUGGACUUUAAAAUAUUUGAAUCAAGGAGAUGCCAUAUUGCUGAUUAAUCUUUUAUCCCUUGCUAUGUGCAUAGGCAGCAACUUGUGCUGGGAAUCACGCUCCUCUUGCCUCCAUCAGACUUCCCUACCAGUACAAGUGGACCCUGGUAAUGGAUGUGUCCCAGAAACUCAGAAUCACAGCUUUUAGGACACUGAAUAAGAGACACUGUCUUAAAUCAUAACUAUAGCUUUACUUGUGGAAUUUAGGAAUAAAUUGAUUUCUGUUCAAGGGAAGACUUCUCUCUCCCUCCCCCGCUGUAUGUUUCCUCUUGGAAAAAGGAAAUGUUAUUGUGGAACAUGUUGCUCUCUGAAGAAUCACUCUAGGGAAUAUCUUAAACACCAGUGACUUAUGACUCCUUUAUCCAUAUCUAAAGAGAUAUAUCUAGUAUGUUAACUCAAACUGUAUUUUACUAAUGAUCAAAAAGAGACUUAAUUUACUUCAUGAAAUUGGUUAUACUAUUACGUAUAAAGUUAAGCGAAUCACACAGUACAUACACUGCAUUAUUUCCAUCUUCGUGAUGUAACGCAAAUAAUGAAACCACUAAUGUUUGCACUUAUGUUGCUAUUUAAUGCCCUAAGGAUAGAGGACAUGAGGGUGCUUCAAGUAGUAGUCUGAUGAUACUCUCUAAUGGACUCUGCUUGUCCAAAUAAUUUGUCCUUGAACUCAUGGGACACAUACACACCAGCGACGAAAUCUAUCUACACAACCACUCAAAGACGCAGCCAAAAGUAUCCCAGAUGUGUUAUUCAUGCAUUUUAUAGAAAUCAGGCAAUUAAAAUAACUCUCUGUGCUUUGGCCAGCUUAGAUGGAAAACUAUAGAAGUGCUAUACAAACUAACACACAAACUGCAUUACAAAAGCAAUCGUCUCUUUAUACUGUACACAACAGAGCCCAAAACUACACACAAAUACACCUCCUAGUACUCCAGAAAAAAAUAUUUUCUCAAUUCUGACAUUUUCUUAUCUAUUUCUCAAAAUUGGCCAAAAAACUUCCACACUCUUAUAUGUUAAUGCUUAUACUUUCCAACCUAUACCAACCAUAGGACUGUCUUUCUGAAGUAUAGCUUCUACUACUUUGACCAGCCUAAUUGCAGUUCUGUUAAAUAAUGGGACUACCACCACUUUAGAACAUCAUUAAAUCUGCUAAAAUAGAAUAACUCAGAAUAACUACACACCAUGUUUUCCCAAUUCCACCUCCGAUUACACGUUCUCCUGCCAACUUAAAUAAAUAUCAUUCCAGUUUCCUCACAUAUAGUUGUUUACUUCAGUUAAUCAAACUGCAUGUAUUCUUUUUCUUCCUAACCGCCCUUUAAUCGUUCUGCUUCUGAAUGUCCCUAUUUUAUCUCUAAGCAAUAUUUUCAAAAUUAUUAAGCGAUAAAUUCAUUGGCACCUUUGCAAAGGGGGCUUGAUCCUUCUGUAUUAUUAGCUCUGUAUUUUUCUGAGUAUCAUACUAUCCAAAAUAGACACAGGCACCUUGCUGCAGUAGCUGCAUUGGGCCUCUGAAGAUAUGCAGGAAAACUAAAUUCCUCAUCAUAAUGAAUUCCAUCUGGUUAAGUAAAUAUUUUCUUUAGUCUGAAAAAAAAAAAUUAAACUGUUCAAUAGAAAACUGAAUGGCAAAGCUGAAAAUAUAGUUUGCAUUUUAUAACUUCAAACAAUAAACAUAAAUGUGAAAGUUCGAAUACAAAAAUUAUUAAAUUCAUAUACAUGUUGAGGAGCAAGUUCUGACAAGUAGAUUUCAAUUGUAAGUAAAAGGAGCCUUAGCGGUUUUUGCCUUUUUCUCAGUUUGUCCAAUUCAUUAAGGCAUCUCACAAUUCAGAACCAUUACUCUCUUUUCACAGAACAUCUUGGAUCAUAAGCCACUUCUUUGGCUUUCAUGAGAAGUCAAGUCACUCAACUUGCAGAGUCCUUUUUAAAGCAGCAUUUCACUUCCAUCCAGGAAUUAUAUUUUCCUAUCCUUGUAAAAAAGUGUGAGUCACACAUUCUAGCUAUUUGCUAAACAUAUUCCUCCAAAAGCUGCUCUGACCUACGCUGCUUUUCUUCUACAUAAACUGUAUUAAUACAAAGGUGGAAUGAUAUGUGAUUCAUAUUCUUGUACCACAGUUCUGUAGGAAUUUUAACAUACGUUAUACUUUCCCUGUAACAAACAAAGUUAUAAUGCAGUCAAUUAUCGCUGGCAAGUAAGACUCCCAAAAUUAAAUAUAUCAAUUUGACAACAAUUUUUCUCCAGACUGGCUUGUAUUAUAAAGGUUUUAAGCCUUUGGUAUCCUCUUUCUAAGUUAAUUCUCAAAUAGCUUAAGUAGAUAUUUCCUCCUCUAAAAAAAAUGUUUUUAAAAGUACAGUAUUAAAUAGAAAAGUUAUACUGGAACCCCUUCCUUCUAAAUCAAGUUAACAAGACAGACUGAGCUCCAAAAUGAAGGGAUGCUACUUUUCUUACUUAGAUCUUCUUCUCUGGGAGGUUAACUGAGUGAAAGUACGCUAUUCACAUAUUUAUUACAGCUGCUUCUAAUAAUUGUAACCUUUCUAACACAAUUUGAGGGAAGAAGGUACAAUAAAAGUCCAUUUGCAAAUGUUCACAGCCUUCCUGUCGCAGACCAAAUACAAGAAAAACCACUGCAAGAUAAAUACUUUAAUUUGAAGACUUUAAUUAUUGUUUGACAUGAAUACGUAAGUCCUUAAGCAGCUAUCAGAUUAUCACAGUAAUAAACAGUUUUCUCAGCAAAUUGAAUUUCUUAGAAAGGACAUGCUAACCAGUAUUCUGAAUAGGCAAAUGAUCUUCAUUCCUUCAAUAUCCUUGCUCUCUUACAUUUCUUGCUAUACACUCUAACAAAAACAUAUACCCCAAUGACAUUAUAAUCAAGGCCACGAACGUUGGUAACGUGAACCAUACAUAUUCUUUACUAUUGUUUUUUGAGUACAGGAAAAUAGAAUAUCUUGAGGUUUGGAGCAGAAAUACAAGUGAUACUUUCUAAUAUCAGUAACUAAUUUCACUUUAGGGUUCCAUUAUCACAGCAUAGAUACUAGGUUUCAUUUUUAUUACUAACAGGCUUUACUUAGCACAGUAAAAAUAGGCUGUUAACCACAGAAAGUAAAAUGUACCAUCAAAGUUCUGGUUUUGCUUAGGAAUCAGAGUUUUUCAGAUACUCUAUCAAAUAGUAAAGUCUAGUUAUCUAUAUGUGACAUGUGUUUUGAAUGCAGAAUAUUUCCCUGAAAUAUCUACAAAGCUAUACAUACAUGAAGAGCAUGUGUUAAAUAGAAUAAGAAGCCAAGGAAAAAAGGUAUUGACAAUGCUGAAACCAGCUUCCUGACUGGAGAAUCAAGUAGUGUAAGCAGAGUAACAGUACUGCUUGCAUGAACAGGUAAAAUGCUUUAUCCUUGUCGUCAAUCUGGAAAUAGAAAUUAUAUGUAUAUGAACUUUAAAAUUGAAGUAAGUGAAAAUUAAAAUACAGAAAGGAAUACAAAAUACACUAAUACAUCUACUGACAAAAAAAUGAUACUUUCAUUUUUAUUUAUCAUGUGUUCAGACUCUGCAAUUUCAUCUCCACAUUCCAAAUUUCUUUUUCAAAUUACUUUUUAAUAUUCCAGAUUAUUUACUGAGUGGAGCCAACCAUUAUGAAAGAAGAUAGAUGUAAGAGCAUUACUAUGACAGAAAUGUUCUGUCUAAUCUGUUCUGAACUGCCAGUGAGGAAGAUGCUCCAGCACUGCCAGAUACCCUGGUUCUAGUCUUUAACUGUCCUGGUACUUAGAAAGAUUUUCCAAAUAUGUAGCCUGUUCUUCUUCACUGUAAAUUAAGACAAAUUGUUCUUGUCCUUCUACAACUGGGUACAAAAUACAAAUGAUGACCAUCUUCUUCACAAUCAUUUUUAGAUGUUGGGUUAUUUUCCCCAGUCUUCUCUAGGCUAAACAAAUACAAUGAUUUUGAAAUGUGCCUUAUAAAUCCUGCUUUCCAAAAACCUUUUCACUCACGUGCUCUCCUAUGGAUUCACUUUUGCCUGGACAUCAAAAUCAUUUUCCUUUUCCAGAUUUUGUUUUAACAAACAGAUACAAUUAUUUUAUUCACUGACUUAUAUUGUCUACUUUGCAUAAGCGUCCUUCAAUUUUGCUUCAUCUGGUAAAACCAGGUAGAACCAAUGUUACUUGGAAUUUUAUGGUACUCCAGAGCAGUAGGCCCCACAGACCCUUGAAACAAAAUGCAUCUGUGCAUCUCUUCAGUAACUUUUUUUGAAAUCAGUAAUUACACUCAAUUUUCUUUGAAUGUAGAAUAAUUCACUUCUUAUUUUUUCAUUUUCUUUAAAGAAUCAGAUAAAGUAGGGCUUUUGUAUGCCUUUUGCUUACUAAUCCUAUAACUUUUGUUUUUACAUUUAACAGCUACAACAAGAAUUAUAAUAUUCUUAAUAAACAAACAGAUGGAGAGAUGGAUGGACAGGCAUGCAUAAAUCUAGUUUUCUUUAAGAAUCAAGUGUAUUAGAAGGAAGAUUUGACUUAAAGUCUGUAUCUCUAUUGUCUCAAAAUAGAUGGUGUCUGCUGAAAUGGAGAUAGAAAGAUGUUGCUAGUUGAAGUAUAGUAUGGAGUCUCUUUUUGAUCAUUACACGAUGAUUAGUUUGUAGUAAAAGCACGUCACAUUCUGCAUUGUUUUCAAAGAGCUUUGUCUGAAUAAAGCAGAAAUAUACUGGACCAAGAAAAGUAAAACAGAAGAUGUAAGAUAACAGAACUAAGAAGAGGUCUAAAUGCUGCAGUGGCUGGCUGGCUCUCUUCACAUUUCUUUCCAGAUGCCUGCCUUUAGAUAAUCUAGUCCCUCUACUUUUUUUUUACCCAGAGAUAGUUUAUCCCAGGAAUCUCCAAAUUAGUUCAUUGGAAAGAUGAAAAAAAUGUAAAAAAUUGAAAAACUGGGCAGCAGUUUAUGACAUCGAGCCCAGAGAGUUUUUCCGCUUCUUUGCUCUAUUUCACUUGUACAGACUAUGCAACUAUACUACAGUCGCGUAUGAAAGUUCUUCUAAGAAGCGGUUUCUAUGGUUUGGUUUUGUCUUUUAAUAUUCAUAUAGUUUAUUCAUAGGGUACUUUCAUAAUGAAUUCCUGAAAUUUAGUAGUUCUUCUUUGUAAUCUAGUUAAUAUAUCCACCUUCAAAACACCCAAAUCUCAUGAUACCUAGGUGUGCUUUCAAUAUACUACACAAAUAAAUAGGCUUAAGGGCUCCCAGCACCUACACUCCUGCUUAGAGCAAUCCACGUCCCAUCUCCGGAAAAGCCUUUUUACAAUUUAUAUACCUUUCAGCCAAAAUUCUGAUGUAGUCACCUCCUCCUUGCUAUACUACAACUUAGCUUCCAGCAGCUCCUAAAAACUAUGCCCCCCCACCUCCUAGGGAAACACAGAGAGACAAACCCGCAACAAGUGAUUAUUUAAGCAGAAGUGAUGGGCACGGAAUAUAUUCGCGAUAAAGGGCGAAGCACUUAAUGAACAUGUCUCUAGCAGACAGUUGUACCUGCACUAUCCGACAUAACAUUUUUCAGAACCUCUCUUCAUAGAAGUCUUAAAAUUACUUCUUUCCUCAAAGCAGGAACUACCAGUUCUGGCAGUUCUGGUUAGAAUAUGCAACGUAUUCAGAGAGAAGUGGACAACUUCAAAUAUUUUGGUUGGUUGUUUCAUGUGAUUUUCUAAAACCAGGCUCAAGGGGAUCAUAGUAUUAGAAUUUUAUAUAAAGCAUUUGCAUGUCAAAAUUUUGAGGUAAUUAUAAGAAAGAACACUCUUCUUUUUUCAGCUAGGUAUGUAAUAUAUGUGACAGAUUUGCUUUAUGUUUUUCUCCAACCACAUGUAUAAAAUUGUAAUUUCUUACAUUUUUCAUUGAUAUUCUGUUGCUUUUAAAAAUGUAGCUUAUAUUAUUUGCAAGAACAUAACACUGCUGAAGCCAAAGCAAGCUGAAGGUACAGAAGAAUACAUUCAUAUUACAGAAGUUAUUUUUCCCCACCUAGUUCUCCAUUGUGUUGCACAUAUGGUUGAUGGCAACACAGUAAAGCCAUGAUAGCCACUUAGCUCCUCCAGAAAAGUUGCCUGCAUUUCUGCAGGAAUCCUUCUCCAAACAAAUUACACUACUUAACUACAGGCAAAUCUAUUGCUGAAUAGUUGUUAUGAUGGUCUAUUUGCUUCCCAGUGUUCCAUUAAGAGUCAUUUCCUAUUAAGAACUGUUUCCAAACACCUACUCCCAGCCUUCCUUCUCAUCUUCUGGCCAUCUUCCUUUGAUCUACAGCAUCCUAAAAUCUUACCCAAUUUACUUAUUUCAUUGAUGUCCUUUAUAUACGAGACUUAAAAUUAGUCAGUAUUGUACACCUAAAAAUUUGAACCAUGCAAAAUUGCUUUGUUGGCCGAUUACAUACAUUUAGUAACUUUAGCAUGUUUUCAGGAGAGUCAUUAUGUUGUUAUGCAUUUAUUUUCUUUUAAACUACCUGUGACACCAUACCAAAAUGCCUCAAGCAUUACAGGUAUGGUCAUAAUAGUGUCAUCAUGUGUAACAGAUGUAGUCGCUCCUUAAUUUUAUACUUUUAAACACAACAUGCUAACAAAAAGAGUGACAGCUUCCCUUGCAUAAACCCAAUGGCAUUGUGAUAACUUUCUUGAGUUUACCACACUUUAGACAAAUACUUCAAGCAUCAAUUUUGUAAAGUAGGAAGUAGAGAUCCUCAGCACUCGCCUUUCAGAAUCUGCAAAUAGUUUUGAUUUGAGCAGUUUAUUUCCUCUAUUUACCACUGAGUAACUUAAAAGACAAUAUUCAACUGAAUACUAACGCAUUCUGUUCCAACAUUUUCUGACUUGCCACAUUCUGCCUUCCCUUUUUAUUUUCUGUCUUCAGACUUAAGCAGUUAAUCCCAGGUCAUAAAGUAGUCUAUGAACGUAACUUUAUUUCCCCUUUUUUUUUUUUUUUGCAUCCUGCACAUAGUUUUCUACAACCUGUAAAAUUAGAAAAGAUUAUGGAAAUAACUGGUGACCUCACUAGGUCAAAAUAUGACCUGGAACCUAAUAGUAAUUACAUCACAUACUGGAAAACUGUCCAAGUAAUACAGAGCUUAUGUUAAUCCCAAGAUAUUAUUGCAUAUCCCCUUUUGAAAUCUGUAUAAAUAUUCAGUAAAGCACUUAUCCCAUCAUGUGCAUGAUGAGGUCAUUAUUUCAUAUUGCAGUGUGCCCAUUUCAGCACCAGGUUCUUCUCAAAAGUCUCAGAAUAAAACACUGUAAACAAAUGCACAAUGUUUCAGGCUUUUAUCCUACAAGGAGGUGUACAUAGGUUGGACCCCAACAGCAUUUUAAUAAUGAACUAUUAAUGAAUCUAUUCACCCAAAUGGACAAAUGCUGACUUCUUUAUUGUAACCUUGCUUAUUUUGAAGACAAUAUUCAUUCAUCUAAGCAGCUUUCCAGUUUCCUUUUAAAAAUACUACCGCAUCAGAUAAAUACUGGUUUGCCUUUUAUUGUCCUCCUCCAGCUAUCUCAAUUUACUGAUUUUUCAGAUUUUCUAUGCUUUCUUUCCUUUUUAUAAAGUCACACAUUACAUCCAAAUUUAUAGAUUCAUUGACGUUUCUGUUCAAGAAACAGUAGUCCGAAAGAUACCUAUAGAUCAUCAGUUUUCAUACCAUUGCGAUUUUAAUUUAGAGCAGGCUAGUACGGUUUUAAUUAUUGCCAACUGGAUGUAGUUCAUAAGGUUACAUCUGUUCCACUGAGCUAAACAGGGCCCAGGCACGUGCUCGAGCUCUCCCAUGUGACAAUCUGUGUCAUUUCACUCUCACUGCGCUCUUUGGGAUGCGUUUGGCUCAGGCCAACAAGUGCCCAGGUAAGACACAGCAAGAUUUGGGGAAGAGCAGGGGUUAGGGACUGGAGAGGGGGCCACCCUGCUUCAGGAGAGCGGAUGGGUGAGCUGUGUGAAUGGGAGCUGUCAUUUGCUACCAACUCUUGACUGGGCUGUGGUCCACUUUGUUUUCUAGUACCGAUGUCACCUGAGACAUUAAAUGCAGCUGAAAAUGGGUAGAGAGUAGGGGAACCUUCUCAUGCUCCUGGGGGAAGGAUGAGGCUGUUGGUGUGGGACAGGGACAGCCCAGCGUUCAGACGACUGUCACCUCCUCAUAGCAGGAGGAUUUUCAGCCUGUGAGCUAGAAUGGCCCUUGGCUACCUGUGCUACCUCCAGUGGGCAGAACAAGGGUACGGAAUCUGGACCCCUUCCUAUUUUCAGACACUUUUCUAUGAUUUUCAAUGAUCAUUUUUGUUUGUUCUCUCUUCAACUGCCUUUUCAAAUAAAUUAUAUGCAGGCAGUGGUCUCAGAUUUCUUCUUAUUCAGUAUUACUCUACUGGAAACAAAGAAAAAUAUUAAAUGUUAAAGGAAUUUUUAAAAAAUCUGCUUUCUAGAGUUUCUUUCAAAGUUUCAUAUAUUUUCAGAUUACAUUAGCAAAACUAUAGUAGCUAAGCAGAUAAUUAGGCCUUCUCAGAUAGCAUCACAUGGUCCGAGCUUUCUUUCCGUUUUAUUUUAUCUUUGCGUGAUGGCAAGCUUAAAUUUCCCAUUUCCAGUUCCGUUUUCUUUUCUCCUACUUUAUACUUCACUCAACAUUUAUUUACAGCAGAAUCUUGCUCUUAUUCUAUUGCAAUGUUACUGCUGAACCAGCUUUCUGCUAUUACUCUUCAAACUCUUUACCAUUCUGUCAGUAAUUUUCACAAUAUGUUUACCCUUUUUCUGGUCUCUUUAUUAAACGAGAAGUAUUGUACAUUCAUAAGGUCUUCAUUUUAGAUCUGUUAUAUUUUUUUUAUUCCUGAUCAAUAUCAGACCCAGGACUGAAUUAACUCUCAUUACUUCUUCCAGUUGUUUUAAGUACUACACAAAAAUAUUCCCCUGUAAGCCUAUUUUGAAAUAUUUCUUGCAUGUCCACAAAUUCCCCUUCUACAGCUUUUCACACAUUUAUUUUCAUAUACAUAGGAAUAUAUGUAUGUGUAAUAUACAUAUAUGUGUAUAUAUAUAAUAAUAGAGAUCCUGAUAAUGCUGGAGAAAGUCAAAUGAAACAAACCUUCAACACAUUCUUCAUGGAUUUUGCAUCUUCCAUUUUCAUUUGUGAAAUUAUUUCUGUGUCUGCCAGCCACAUGAAUUGCAGGAUCUGCAAGCAGGGUGGUUCUUUUAUAAACUAUGCUUCCCUCACCUUAUCUUCCUUAUAUAGCAACAGAUAGUUAUAGUCUACUUAUGUCUUAGCCAGACUUGUUUGUAAUGUGAUCAAAGAACAUUUAAUGGAAUUUUCAGUGGCACUGCACCUCUCAAGACCACAUGUACCUUGGCUGUGUUUAUGAACAGAAAUACCUAAUUUUUCAUUAUUAUUUCCUGCAGGAAUUUAUAGAUGAAGUAUGUUUUCACAUCUGAAUGUAGUAAUAGUCACUCAAUGUUAUUGUGCUCUUGCAAGCGUUUCCCUAUGGUUACACUUAUUCAUUUGCUGAAAAAUCUUUCCUGUUUUGUUAGUAUUUCCAGCAAUGCCUUCCUCACUGUUCUUCAUAUAUUAAAGAGAUGGACAUUUUAACUGGUUAUUUUAACAGAGACAUUAUCACUCAAAGAUUGCAAAUCAAAAAAACCCAUAAACUUGAGUGUAAAAAUAAUUUGGUCGUCAAACUACAACCCUACAUUUUAGAUUAGUAGUGCGAUUACCCAUGGAAUAGUUUUGUAACUUAACAAGCAAUACCAAUACUGUACUUUCAAAGCCAAAGUCAUUUGCUAAAACUAUGCUAAUUCAAGUCAGUUUGAAGUACUUCUUUCUAACAAUAAUAUGCCAUUGUUAGACUUGUAUUAUUUCUCGUGAUGAGUAAGACCUUAUUCCAUAACCACUCUACUGUAAAAUGAAUACAAGUAUUAAGUAAGGGACUAUUUCAGGAUCUGUUAUUGUAUUAUACAGUUAAUAGAAAGGCCAAAUCUUCAGUAAGCAGUGGUGACUUAACUUCAUGCGUGCCAAUUUAUACCAUUUGAGGCUAUAGCCCAGAAAACUCUAAUGGGUUUUACAUAGUUUUCAAUAUGCUUUCUUUUUCUAUGGAUAAUUUUCAUACAGUCAAUUUUUACAAAAUUAGUUGCAGUUGAUUCAUCCUAACAAAAAACACUGCUACUACUGUACAACACAAAACCUCACCAUCAAUGUAACUGCUUUAGAGAUUCCAAAUUUCCUCUGCUUUCUAAUCCUUGUGUGUAAUGUCAUCCCCAUGUUCAGUAAAUGAAUCUGGCAAGGAAGGUAUUUUUUAAUGGGCUCAAAAUUAUGCAACGUCCUGCUCAUAACUACACUAGUUUAAAAAUUUGGGCACCGUAAGUUACAUUCUUAGCCACACCUUCAAUCACCUCCUAGUAAGUUACUAUUAUUACUGUUAUUGCAAAUUACUGUAUCAGAAGAGACUUCAGAAUCACAUUUUACACAUCUAAACUGAAAAGUUCUGAACUUCACUAUUUCUGUUUUAUCAUGGACUUGGCUUUCCUUUUAUUGCACUAUCUCAAAUCCAAAGAAUUCAGAUUAGCUAAAGAAUAUUUAGUAUAGAUAAUAAAAUAUGUAGGUAUCUACCCCUCAGACAGUAACUUUUAUUUAAUGUUUGUGCUAUAACAAAGCAUGAUUUGCAAAAAUUCUCCUGAUUUUAUGUGUGUACAUGUUUUAGUUGUCUUUAUUAUUUUUUUUUUAAUUUUAACUGCUGAUACUAUCGAUACAAAGCACUCUUUCCAUUAGCAUUUCUCUUUAUCUGCAAACAAAAUCUGAAAACAUCUGCCAUACCAUUUAUAAAUGCAGUAUGCUUGCUUUCGUUCAGAUGCUCUUUUGAAGUCAGCAUUCCUAUAUUGAACGAGUACCAUAAGUCUAUAUUUUUACAGGAAUGUUUAUCUCUGCCCAUAAUUGUCAUUCUAUUGAUGUAGGAGGCAACAUAUUUUGAUGCUAUGUGUCAUAAAAAACUUAAAAUACUGUCACUGAAUUGUUAAGUUUCUUAUCUGGUUUACUGGGAGUCUUAAAAUAGCAGAUGCUUACAGUGUUUAGAAGUAAGUAUAUUCUUGAAUAUAUAUGAUCAUGCAUAAGGCAGUAUUUUAGUCUAAUGGAUGCACACAAGAGAAAAAUGGAUUGGUAUUGAAUCAAAAGACUUAGGAGAGUCCAGUGGAGAAAGGAAUAGGAAAUUUACAUUAACAAAAGGAGUAAAAAAAAGGAGAAGACAGAGAGCUCAAGAGAAGGAGAGAUCUUUAAUGGGUAUAAAUCAAGCAAAUAUCACAUUGGGAGGAAGAAAAUAUUCACCUUUUAAUAAGUCAGACUUCACCAGUCCACAACUUUUAAAAUUUCUCCCACUUUUUGCAAGUGAGCCAUAUGGGACUAGAUUUUUAAAAUAAAGACUAAUGCUAUGUUUUGUUAAAUCUAAAUGUCUUUAAUAUGGAUUUUAUAUUCUUGACAUUUGAUUUUACAUUUCUACAAACAUCUUUAAAUUAAAAGUACAUUAGAAAAACAGCACAUUUUAUAUUGAAGGCAGAAGAACAAUACUUCUUGACUAUUCAAAACCAUAAAAAAUUAACAUGAGUGCCAUAUUCUUCUUUUUCUAUGUCUUCACUACAAUACUGUCUCUCAGAGAAAAUAAUGGUAUCAGCAUCAAAGGAAAGUGUCAGCAAUCUUCCACAUCAGAAGUUAGGACGAUACCUCAGCAUGGAAGGUAGGAUGGUCAGAGAGGUAGCAAGUGAAAAGCAUCAGAAGAUUUGGUAGCUAAUACAAACAAACACACACCACAGGGAAAGAUAACAAGAUUGAAAAGGACAGGAAAAAACAAAAUACAUAGGAAAUAGCAAGGGUAACAAUUGCGUUUAUUAAUUUUAGAAACAGCACAAGAAGAACACUAACAGAAGAAGUGAGGAAUAAGGCAGCCAUUCUUAAAAAGAAAGGUCUACAGAAAAGACCUACUAUGAUACGAAAUGCUCACAGUUAUUCCUCUCUUAAGGUGACGGGCCACUCACUUGACUUUUAGCUUGAGCUCGUCAGUUCAAAGCAGGAUUCCUGUGAAGUCAGUAGACUGAAACGGGCACCUCCAGAGGGCGAUUCAUCCCAUCCUAAGAUCUGAAUCCUAGACUCUGAAUCACGUAUUUGAAAUGUGAUUAAUUUUGUGAAGUUCACUAGGUAUUUGUGAACCUAGCAGCAUAUCUUUAAGCUAAAUACUUAUGGAUAACAACUUUUGAAUUAAAAUAAUAUGAGAAAAAGCACAUUUUCAACUUCCUUUACUCUGCACAAAGAAAAUUUACUAAUGACUUUCAUCUGCAUAGAACAUGUUUGUGCUGCAUAGUAUCUUUUGUUACUUAACAUUACUUGUGUUCACUAUACUGAGCACAGAAAUGAAGUCUGACCCAAAAGAAAGAAAACUUGCUUUUCUACUAGGGCUAACUAUGUACUACUGGGGGUGUUAAGUUUAUCUGCUGUAAGCAGAAAUCAAAGCUUGAUAUCACUGGGAUUCUACAUUCCCAACUUUUAAGACCUGAUUCAGGAAAUAACACAUUUAACUGAUACUUAAAAUGACACUGCUGAUAUUUCAGUGAUUUGUUACUGAACACAGUAAAUACUGCUGUGAAAAAAUGCUGAAAUCCUAUGUCAUGGUGACAGAUACUUGCAUUAUAAUGGUUACUUUAAAUGAACUAUAAUUACAUACAAGAUGGGUGAAGGGCUGGUUUUAAAGUUGGGACAUGGCCCAGUCUCUGUGCAGGAAGCUUCAGUGCAGAGCAGGUCUGUGGGGACAACCUCUUCAUCCCACCUUCAGCAGCUUGCCAGCCCAGGCAAUAAAAAAAGACUCUGCUCCUACAGAACUGUCAUACCAAAGCACAAAUAAUCAGAGAAGAGGAUGGAAAAGGGAGCUUUCCCCCUGGGCACUGAUCUGGGCGCCGGAAUAUACACCAAAGGGACAGUUCACAGUCUGCACUUUCUUAUUAGUAUGGAAAGUCUGAGAGACAUAAUCCUGGGACUAGGCAAUUCAUACCUCACAGGAGACCUAUGCAUACCAUGGUUUUCCACUCAUGACCAUUUCAGAAUAGUCACCCUGAUGCUGCCUAUUACAUGAGAACAACACGGAGUUGUCAGUUACCGUGCAACUAAAAAGACACCUUUAAAAUCUAAAUAUGGGUCCACUUGAAGUGUUAUUUUGCACUGAAGAAUUUAUAUGAUCUAAACAAUUCUAGAGUCAUGUAACAUAACAUAGUGUAACACUAAUGCAAAACAACAUUACAGUAAGGGCUAAUUAUAAAAUACUGCACGAAGUCUUUUAUUUAAAACUGCAUUUAAUUUCCUUUUCCUUUUAGAAUUACCACAAAGAAUACAGUUAUAUAAAUUUUCAGGUAUUCAUAUCUUCACUGGAUGCCUUUAAUAACUGCUGCCCAGUGACACAGACACUUAAUUCUUAUGUAGACCUAUCUCUAUCAGCAGAAAGUAAUACUCUACCAUCCAAAAAGUAGAUAUUAGCACUCCAAAAAUAUUUGUGAAUUGGCACCAUACGGACUCUCCCUGCUUCACCCAUUUUCACUCUUUGUGUCCCCAGUCAGCCACGGGGCAGUGUUAGAGGGGAUGAGACUCUGCUGCACAUCAGCCUGGGGAUCAGUUACCCUGGAGUGUUGCUUGGAUGGCCAGUUACAGCAUCUGAUGCAAACCACCACGUUUAAAAAGAAACAAGUUUUUAGCACAGUAAUUCAUGAAGACCAGUUGCAGUCACUAUAGAAAUAUUAGUUAAUUGCUCAGUUUAAGAAGUACAUAAUUUCCAUAAAUAUUUACUCUGCUAUAAUACCAUAUAUACUCAUGGGACUCAAGGAAUAACUAAGUACAUAAAUGAACAACUUAUGAUUCAGACUUUUUUGCCAAUUUCCUAAUUUAUUUUAUUUUAUUACAGCUUAUGGACGAAAUCCUCACACUGAUGUCUAACCUGUAAUGAAAGCUGAUGUUUCGACCUUUCAAUAGAGAGCUGAUUUUGGAGAAUGGCUUACUCCUGUGACUGAAAAACUCUCUCUGGAAGGUUGAUGGAGCAUAAGCAUGGUCUGAUCAGCAACUCCAGUGCAAUUUGAAUAUAUGUAAUCUGCUGACAAUGAUGUGCCCAACCAUAAUCGGUGCUGGAGCCUUGGGAAGAGAGAUUGUGUCAUCACACAGUAUAUAGUCCGACAAUGACUGACUUUGAUGAAUCUGUGAAAGAAGAAAAUAGUUUUUUCACCUCUUAAUUUGCAAAAUGCACACAAAAAAGUAGAAUUUAACCCACUGAAGUUGUUAGAUUGUCUGGGCUUCGGGGGAGGUUUUUGGUUUUGCUGGGAGUGGGGGAUGUUGAUGAAUUAGUUGAUAAUCCCGUACAGUGAUAAGGAGGAGUUAAUCACACACAUGAACUCUUGAUUUUGAGAACAUGAAUAUUUAUAGUGAAUACCGAAGUGCUUAAACCAAGCAUACAUGUAAGCUUUAAAGGAACUGAAUCCUUAGUCUUUUGCAGGUAAGACAUUAACAAUUUAAGCAUAAGCAUUUUCAUGCCAACAAGGCUCUUGUCUUCUUAUUUUCCUUUUACCAACUUCAUUUUUGGUCCUAAAUCAGAGAGAGAAGUUCUGUUGUUAAGUUACAAUUAAGAAAUGUGUUUAUUUGAGCAAAGGAAGAACAAAUGUGUAAGUGCCAGCAAUGUGCAGACCAGUAUUGCAAUAUUGGUCUGUUCUAUCUUUAAGCAGGUGGUUUCAUGUGGCAGGCUGCAAGAGACACUUUUUUUCUUCCCAGCUUUUGACAAAAAAGAUGACGCAUAUGACUCAGAAUUAGAAGGGGAAAUCUGCCAGUUUGCAUCAGUUCCUUAACUUGUGGGCUGCUAUUCACCACAAGGAAAAUCAGUAUACUCACACCAGUGCUUCUUGAGAGAUGAGGAGUAAUCAUUUCCUUCAGAAAGUGUAGGAUGAUUGGAGUAGGCCUUUCAUAUCUUACACUAGGUUUGUCAUAUAAUAAGAUAUUUUUCAAUUGUAUUAAAUUUUUAGGAAGAAAAAACUCAGAUGUUCUUAAAUGCUACAUCUACUGUUUAAAAUACAAAUCAGACAUAUUCUAGCUUAAUUCAGAGUAAAAGCAAAGGAUCUCUUCUGCUUUUUGAAAACAUUUCUGAUGGCACAGAAGUUCAAAACCCAUUGUAGAUUUCCACAGUUAAAGGUAAGGUUUUUUUACAUCUUUUUAACCUAAUUCCACGUAUCUGAAUCUCCAGUUCCAGCUUUUAAGUAAGUUAGUAAGACUGAAAAUUAAAUAUAGUAUCUUUGAGGGCAGAAGCCAUCUGUUUUGAAGGGGAAAAUAAGUAUUUGAAGUCAGGAAGAUCUGAUUUUCAUAAAUGCCAUGCGUUAGACCUGCUAAAAAAAGAUAAUGGACAACGCAGAGAUAACCCAAACCUCUAUGCAAGAAUCUGAAUUAUGAUGGAGGGAGACUUCUUGCAAUACUGAUAUUUGCUCAAAGAACGUAUUGUGAACUAGCCUUUUUAUUAAAAAAAAAAAGUAAAAUGCUAAUUAUUGAGAGAUUAAUGUCUUCUUGGUUUGUGGAUAUUUACUAGACAGUUUUAUAGGGCUGAGAGUACAGUUUUGAUUUAUUUUUUUUUCGUGACUGCUAGUGUGCUUUAGGUAAUGGAUUAUAAAUCUUUUUUUUUUUAAUAUAUUAACUUCUAGUUAAUUCAACAUGGUUUUACUUUAAGCUUGUUGGUGAAAUAUUGAAAAUCUAGCUUAAUAUAAAGCCAUAAGAGGCACUGAGCAUCCUUAUCUUUUUUCUUUUUUUCUUUUUCUCCAAUGAAUAAAGUUCCUUUCAUUUGGCAAAACUGUUGUUGUUUUGAAAAAGCAUAUCCUAAGUUAAGUUUAUUUUCUAGCUGGAAAAAAUGGAUUUCACUGCUUAGAAAUCUGUGUCAGCCUUAAAGCACCAUUUUAUUUUGCGUUAGCUCAGUUCUGUGAGUGGUGGGUCUCCCUGAUGGGGAAGUGGGGAGCCAACCCAUGGACAUUUUUGAAAGGGUGUUUACAUGUCUGUGUGUUAGAUGGUCUGUCUUCUAUGAAUAUUUCACAGAGGGGUAGGGAAAAGAUUAAAACAACCUUCUGAGUUGCUGCAGCAGCAUAUUUCCUCAGCUACCAUUGAAUAAACGAUAAUCAAAGUGGAUAAUAUGACUAGGAAUCUGUACCCCCAAAUGUGUUAAGGACAUUUGAAACUUCUACUGAAGUCAUUACAUAAUGAAGUUGUAGAAAUACAGCUAAGGAUUGGAAAAGUUAUGGUGAUUACUUGGAGGUGUUCACCUGCUGUUAACUAGCGAAUUCCCUUAACAGUUGAGUUGAUUUCUUCUCAUGAUUCAGUCUAACCUUUUGUACAAAAGUCAUACAGUUGUCUGGCAUUUUAUAGCAGUCAGGUAAGGAUGAUGUCAAGAAAAAGACAAAUUUACUGUCUGAGCCAGAAGGCAGGCUCACAAAAAACAACUUCUUUCAGGACACGAGAAGCUCUUUGUUCUGUGGCCUUGGUCUUUUUGUGCUUUGACCCUUAUUUUAUGGCAUUGUCACUCUGACCCUAAAUCUUUGGAAGGAGACGUGCAGCAAAUUUAGCCCUUUACAAGUGGAGCUGAGUUCUAAGCUAUGGGCCUGGUUUUUGUCUUUAGGCAUUAUAGUUCCAUACAAUGCUGAGAUGUAAUGAGAUCAAAAUUUAACAUGUAUGGUUUUGUGUAGUGCAAGUAGUAGUAUUUACAUAUCAGGCCACAUUUUUAAUAUAGAUUGUUAUAUCACUGUUCUAUGAUUUAUGAUAAGUGACCAAUUUCAGAUAAGACGGCAACCAAGAAGACAGCCUGAUUAACACUUUGGAAACUGAUCCUGUGCACAGACCACCAGGGUUCCUGCAAAAUGCUACCUGACUAUUAACUAUGCUAUUGAGGACAAGAAAUGCUUUGCUCUGCAUUAUACAGUUAGAAGAUUUAACCAGCUGCAUGGUUUGCUUUCCCAGAAGACUGGGUGCCAGCUUAGGGGAGUACAUUUUACACUAGGCCUGCGACUGCUUCCCAGGCUAAAUGAGUAAAUCUUCUGAGAAUGUGAUAGAAUUAACUUCUCUUUUUUUUUCUUUAAGAAAGCUAGAAAUGAAUGAGAAGGACAGAAAACUAAUAGUUAGCUGAUAUGUUUUGAUAUGUAUAUUUAUAUUUUAGGAAGAAUCAAAACUGUUUAAGAAGAAAACCUGUUUUACUAUCUUAACUUUCCAUUACAUAGCUGGUUUGUGUUGUAUGGGUAUUGUUAUUCUGAGAAGCAUUGUUCCAGUUUCUUUCUUUUUUUUUUUUUUUUACCAGUAAUUAUUCUAUAUACUUCAGGUUUGUAAACUUGAACUAAAGUCACAGGAUAAUAUUUUCUGAAGGUAAUAGUGUAUAAUCUAAGGAUAUGGUUUUUGGAGAACUUGGGGGGAAAAAAAUUACCUCUUUUAAAAAAAAUUUUUUAAUCUGAAAACGUGUUAUGAUUUUUUUUUUUUAAUACUAAUACACAAACUGCAGUAUUUUAAGACAGACCUGACUUUCUUUUUCAUAAAUCCACUAGACUACUAAUAUUUUUUGUGAUAAAAUCAGGAGGAAAAGAACAUUUUAAUUACAACUAUAAUGAAAUAUAAAACUUCAUAGAACUUAGACAAUAGCUUCUUCGUUUUUCUUAAUUUUUGUAUGUGUCCUUUCAAGCAGAAAGAAUGCUGGUACAGAUUGAAAGUGUUCACACAGUUUUCUUCCUGUGUGUGUGCCAAAGGUUCAAGAAAGACAGAUUUUAAAAAAUGGUGUGCAAGCUAUACCAGAGCCGUCAAGAGGGACCUGGAAAGCUCCUCUGAAAUACAACUUCUACACACUGUUAGAACCCAGAGCUUCUUACACUGUACAAGUUCCCUGUGAAGUAUUUCAUAUAGCAGUCUAGUUAAUGCAUCAACAUCUGACAAAACACUCUUUAGAAGCUGGGAAAAGAAGUGGGAGGAGUUAGUCUUAUUCAAUUUCAUUAUUAAGCUAGAGGUGAUACUAAAAUAUACUGAUAAUAUACUAAAACAUACAUUGAUGAUAUUUUGGUGUGCUGCAUCAUCUUCCCUUAGUUCUGCUCUUUGAGCUAGCAAACUAUAAAAACUGUUUGACAUCCUGUACUUGUUCAAGUCAGAACUAACUACUUUCAGUCUCUUGCCUUCCGCAUACAUCCCCUGCAUUUUGGUUGCUGUUCAGUGCUCCAAUAGAAGCAUUGAUAUGGCAGUACCAAAUAACUGUCUUCACUUAGGUUUGAUUUUGUGAUUGCAAUGGGGGGAAAAAAUGCAUCUAAUACAGACGAAUAUGUGAGUCAAGCUAGUGUAAGUAGUGGCUGGAGCGCUGAGAUGAAGUAAAAAGGAGUUAAAACUUAAUUUGAUGCCAGUAGACCAUAACUGCACUUCCAGAUUUCCAGGUAUUUUUAUACUUCUGAAUUUCUUGAUGUUUUACUUCCUGGUUUUUAUUUUUAGCUGCCUUUGUGAUUCUAUGUUUAUCUUGUGCGGUAGUUCUCCAGCUAGUCUAAAUACGUUGGUUCAUGAUCCUUAAAUUUGUAUUCAGAAAAUUACCCAAAGUAUUAACUGUGACUUUUUAAUACAAAUCGAUAAUAGUCUUAGAAAUAUUCAGCUGCUUGGUAGGAGGUAUGGGAAGAUCUAUCAUACAUGGAGAGGGUGUAUAAACUCAGUCCUGAAUGACUGCUCCUUUUUGAGGUGAAGUGGAGCUAAUUCAUUGCUGGAUUACAGUAAUUUAACAAAAACAAAACAAACUAGCACAGAAUUGCUAGGUUAUAGACAGAUUGUUUUUUUUAGAAUUGCAGUCUUAAAUGUGAGUUCAAAAUCUUACUGUUACUUCAGGGGAAUAGCAAAUAAGGUGUACAGUUUUAUUCUCUUAGUUGUUUUUCCUCUGUGACCACUAAGUAAUCUCAAUUAAGUGAAUUAACUGAAUAUCAUAGGCUAUACCUGAAAAAAAUAAUAACGCAAUAGUAGCCAAAAGCACACUGAUACCUUUAAAGUAAUGCUUUGAAGUAUUUCCAUUGAAUCUUUCCUCAUUUUUAAGGAAUAUAUGCAUAUCACUUUAAAGGCUGCUGACAUUAAGAAUUAGAAAGAAAGAGGAGUCCUUAACAACCAGAAGGCAGAGGUAAAAGAAUAUAAAACUUGCUUAUUCUUGAAACUUACAUUUAGAAGUAAAUGCAAGAGUUAUAAAUUCCAGUGUGUUUGCAGUAUAUAUAUUACAAUGUUGAGUAAGUAUAUGACAAAAAUAGAAAACUACAACAGUUUAAACAACAGCAGGGCAGAGUAGGGAAGUAAACAGUGUAUUAUCAAGAUACAGCUACUUGCUUCUCUUUAACUCUAUCUUUUGCCUGGAUGAAUCUAGUAAAAAAAUAAAUAUAUAUAUGUAUGUAUUUGCAGCAAGAGCUGAACUGUUGGUGUGUUUAUUCAUAUUCAAUGGUGUAUUAGUGGCACUGCACUGUGAGCUGUGAGAGCUUUGCAAAUACACCAGCAGUCGUCAAAAAAGCAAUCACUGCAAAAUGUUUGGUCUACCGUCUGAGUAAGUUACCCUCUUCCUGGAUCACACCGGACAUGCUUGUCCAAACUGGCCCAUUUUCUUACUGUGCCAUCUGAGUGCAAACCCCACCUCAUUUCCAGUUUAAAAUACGGAGCUGAACAGGGAAAACUGAGAUCUGGAGAUAUACUUGCUGAUGUCCGUGCUAUGGGGGCAAUUAGCACUGGUGGACAAAUGCAGUGCUUUAAACUGGAACACUGACAGUCUUUCAGUGUUUCUCACCUUCAGAUUUCCAAUUUUAAAGUGAAAUAAGGUUGGGAAAGGGUCACAAUGAACAGUGAAGCAAUAGCAUUGCUUUCAUAGUGGAUUUGCGUUUCUUCACUUUAAUGAGUAAGUAACACAAAAUGUAAUAUGGUUGUGUGCAAAUGCUACGACACCAUCAAUGGGGAAGGUGUUUGGGGCAAGAAAUAUCAAGAGAUUGCUUUUGUUGUAUGAGUAAAAGGCACAAGGUAAAUGUUUAAUCUUAGGUUGUGUUCUUGGACAUCUAAGAUAAUAUACAGUAUUUAAUAGAAAGAACUUGAUUUGUUUUACUCCAAAUCACUGAACUAUCAGAUUGGUGACUAGUGGUACCUUUUUGGAUACAAUAUGUUACACAGAGUUUAUUAGUAGUUAUAGUAGUCAGAAAUUCACUUGUAACUGGUUUUCGUGGUGUCAGAAAGAGAUUGGUUUUGGCUUGGUGGUGUUGUAAACUCUUAAACAUAAACCAAUAAAAACUGAACAUGAUAUUUUAUACUAGGCUUGAUCUCUGAUAAAUCAGCUAAGGAUAAUGAAAUCAAGGAAAGGCUCCUUCCUUAAUUUGGAACACCCCAGUCACACAAACAACCUUUCUUUCUUUUUGGUAGCAGUUUAGUUGCUUUUUCUAACAGCAUUCCUGACUUCUGUGUAUGUGUAGAGAGCCUGCUUGGAUGGAAUUUCAGUUCUGCAUCUUGAGAAUCCUUCUUUCUUCCAUCUUCCUCAGCAGAGCUCUCACUUUGAGGGACUUGGAGGGAUCUAAUGAAGCUGCUUGCAUAAAUGAUUCCUGGCUUUUAUGAUGAUGAUGAUGAUGAUUGUAUUUCCUCUGUCUGUCUCAUCCACAGAUCCCAGUCUUAAAGAUACUAGAGGUAUUACUUCACCGAGGUACUGAAAACAAUAUUUAGGACUUCAUAGUAUCUGAUGAUAAAUACAGAAUAGACAUAUACACCUGCGAAUGGUUUGGUUUACAUUAAAGCUGAAUCUAUUAAAGGAACCAUCUCAAGCUACAUCUGUCUAAUAAUGCCUUGAUGUUUCUCUUGCUGGGAAAUCUUUCAUUGAGAUGAUUGAAAUCACUGCGAUGAGAAUGGAAAUUACUCGGGUCCUUUCCUUUUAAAAACUGCAUGCAAGAACUGUGUGGUGAGUCAAAUGUAGACUAAUGGUUAUGUAAAUGUCACUAAUUUUAGAUACAGUCAAGAUCUGAAAGUGUGUUUCCUUUUAAGAUUUUAUUUUGUUCACUAUCGUGACUCAGUAUCACUUGCUAAUGUCAUUUUAUCAGCCUUGUUUUAUUUUACCAUUAAAAUACACAUGCCUUCUCCAAGUAAGUACUCACAGCUUCAAGUUUAUACAUCACACAGAUGUUUUAAAAGAGAAAAAAAGCUUAUCUGCACUGGGGAUUUGGUUUGACUUCAGGCUUCACGGGUGUGCUACUAGAGCAGUUGUACAGGUACAAACAUGACUAGAUGAAUAUGAAUCCAAGUUGUUAUAACUCAUAAAUCUGCAUUAUUUUACCAUAUAGAACUUCAGCCUGGUGUAUGCGCUGGUAAAAAUCACACUUUUCUUCUCUGCCCCUGCUAUGGAUUUGAACUGGUGAAACUACAAAUAGCUAAAAUUUCCAAUUUAGUUGAGACCUGAGCACUGCCCAGCAGUAAAGCCAUGUGGUUUUAGCCAACAACUUUUCAUAAAGUAGAUGCUUCUGUGUAUACAUAUACCUGCAACAGGUGUCUUAAGAUAUGUGGCCAAAAGGAAGUCGACUACUCAGAAAAAAUAUGCUAUCUGGCUCAAAGUUGGAUUCCCUUUUCCCUGAAGCUUCUUUGAGUAGCACUAUGUUAUAUUUGCUUACCUGUAACUGCUUAAUACUAAAGACCUGCAUGUACAUUUCAGCCAUUUGAAAACUUAAAAUAUGUUUGGAAAGACCAGACUCUCUGGGUCUUAAAAGAAAAAGACAUUAUUCUUCCACUAUUCUCCUCCUUCUAAAGGUUACUGAUUUUGGUAGCCAAGUACAACUGAGGUGUUCAUCCUGUUACUCUUGUAGAUCCAGUAUUAUAAAGUCACUAGGUUUUUUUCCAGGGCUUCCAGGAGUAGAUGUGAAUCUAAAGACCGGGUCAGAAAGAUUUAAAAGUAUGCAACAAGUAAGUCUGUUUGCACGGCUUUGUUAAAGUCCAGUGGCCAAAUAAUUUGUUCCUGUCUACUUCAUUGUGCCAAUGCAGACCUUCUUGUGAAUGGUGAAAUGGGCUCCUUCCCUCUGAUUCAAUCUGCAAACCCCUGUAACUGACACAGGGCAGGGGAUGACAGGGAGUGGGACAAAGCAGAAGGAGAAAGGUCACACUGUCUUGUUUGGUGGCCCUAGCAGCUUAUAACAGUUUAGUGAGAUGAUGAAAAUACAAUUUGAGGGUUUGCAGAAUCAGAGUUCAACUAAGGAACCAAAGUUCAAGUCUGGAUUAAGAAAACGACUUCAAGUGUUUAUGAGGGCCCAUUCAAAUUAUUCAGUUCCUAAACCUUUGAAAAGAACAUAUUUCUUACAUGGUUCACAGUUGCUUUAAAUAAUAUUAGCAAUUGUAUUUUCCAGAGGUUUACCUGCAUGGGGAAUGCCGUAGCAACUUCCUCUGCAUUGCAGCUCUGGGGUCCUAAGGAUUGUGCCUGAAUGUAAGAAAGGAAGGCUUGCUGUUUUCAUUUCAGGUGCUUAUUUUCUGCCAAGCUUAGCCACUGUAUGGGAAAAAUAAGGCUGGUUCAUGUAGAAGGGAAAGAAAAGAUAGACCUGCUUGAAAGUAGACUAGCAGCUAUAUAGGAGUGAAGACAACUAGUGAGAGGACUAUGUUGAAAAAUCUAAUGUUGAACGGUUAGACUGGAGCUGAGAACUGGUAUAGGAAAGACCGAUAUGACAAACUGGAAUAUUGAAAAGAUUGGGACAGGUUGGGCAAAGUUGUUGGUUUGUUUGUUUUUUCCUUUGAAUUGGAAGAAGCAGCAGCCUAACAGAAGGGAUCUGGCCUGAAGCAAAGAGAAUGUGAGUCAGGCCUGAGGAAAGGGGCUUGCACACCUCAGAUCAUUCCAAACAUUCACUAAAAUGCUCUGGAUUUCAGAUCCAGAAGAGAAUGCAGACUGUUUAGUAGCUUUAGCUGUCGUCUAUUAAAUCACUGUUGAUUUUGUCCUCCUCAUCUCGUUCCACACAGAAAAGGGCAACCUUAUUAGUGUUCUCAGCUACUUCAUGAAUUUUGGUCCUAAAAAGGAAUCUGAAAAUGACAAGAGUAGUUGAGGCUCAAAAGUACCUCUGGAGAUGUAGUCCAGGCAGGGACAGGCAGAGCAGGUUUUUUAGGGCUGUUUCCAGCUGGGUAUCGAAUAUCAAGGAUGGAGACCCUGCAACCUGUCCUGUUCAGGUAGAAUUUCCUGCAUUUCAUUUUGUGCCUGUCGCCUCCUAUCCUGUCGCUGGACAACACUAAGAGCCUGGCUAUGUCUUCUUUGCUCUCCCUUACCCCAGCAGCAGAAAUUUAUAAACUUCAGUAAGAUAUCCACACACAAGCCUUUUCGUCUCCAGGCUGGAGGACCAGCUUUCUCAGCCUUUUCUCAUGUGAAAGAUGCUUUGUCAUUCUCUCAUCAUCUUUAUGGAAGUAAAUGAAAUGUUUCAACUAAUAUGGGAAUUGGAACUCAAAGUGGGGAAUGCUCUUUGGGGAAAAUAAACCAAAACACAAUCUAAUAACUUAACUGUAAAAAGAACAUGAAGAUCACAAAAUGAAACACUGACAAGUUAGGUAACUCCUGCUUUAAGAUUCUGCAAUCUUCAUUUGCCCCCUGGUGUUAGUGUGCUAUGAAGCAAUCUUCGAGAUCAUACAGAAUAUUGAAUCUAAAGAUGGGAUUGGCCUGGUGUGGUGCUGAGCCAGGAAAGAUGUUUGUGGGCUCUGCAAGCAAGAAGCCUGAUGCUGCUAUAUGUGGUACAGAAAUUGGUAGGAAAUUCUGUAAGCAAUGCAACAAAAUGCAAAAUGCAAAAAAUAAAAAAACCCUUUGUUUAGUAUCUAUACUACAGUGAUGCAUUUCCUCAUGGAAUUUUCUAUGUUACUUAUUAACUCUGGUCACAGAGGAAGAGGUGAGUAUUGUGCAUCUUUUAAAGACCAGAUCUGCAAUUAACUUUCCUUGUUAUCAGCUCAAGCUGAGAAACUGAGUUUCCAUGUUGUUGAUUCAUGGUCUAGUCAUCUAGUUCUGUGAACUCCAAAAUACUGAUUUGUGUCCUGUCUUGUCACUGAUUCGUUUUUUUCACCUAUAGCUAUUAUAAUUAAACACUUGUCUCAUUUUUGGAAUGUGGUUUCAUGAGUAAAACCUUCAAUAUUCUGCAAAAUAUUUUAUACGCUGAAGGUAGUGCUCAUGUUUGAACUUCAACGUAUUUUACAAUAAAUUUACCUGUGCAGGUCUAUGUUGCAGAAGGAAUGACCUAGUUAAAUUGUAACACUUAAUUUCUUAUGCACAAGUGUAAACAGUGCAUCUUUAAAAAUGUAAAGUGACUUACACCUAUGUAUUCAGGACUUCUACAGGCCAUUGUUCUUCUAAUUACAAAAGCAGUUUUCUUAGUACUGCAAGUGGCACACUUUACUGAGUGAGAAUGGUUCUGUGCUUGAUAUUCAGAUAUAGAGAUCUGAAAAUGUUUCAGCUUUUUCCUUAAUCAUGGUAUCUUGUUAAGUGUUGGGGGAAGUCUCUCCUAAUCAGGUAGCAAUACUAGCAGUAAUGAUUGAAACGUUUAGACUCUCAUUAUGUUCUUUAUCACCACCUCCUGUCAUAGAAGUCAUGAGAAAUGAUUGACAGAAAUAUAUCCGAAGUGGUGAUCUACUAUUUUACCACAGUUUCACUUGAAGCAGAGCAGCAAUCCUUUAUUAAAAAAAAAAAAAAAAAAGCUUAAAAUGCAUUUGAAGGAAAACUUACAUCUGACGUAUAUGUAAAUCUGCUUUUGAAGGUGGUGGUUAUAAGUGUGCAUCAGAACAAAAUGAUUAACUAUAAACAGAAACAAGAGGUGUCUGAGAAAAUGCAAUGGCAUGAGUGGCAUUGUUCAACUUUCCAUGAGGGGGCUAAUUCACUGGAAUAUUACUUUUUCACCCAGAAUUAACCAUUUAUUUCUGUUGGAAGUUAUUUAAUGGCUCUCAGGUGCAACAACCCAGUGUUUUUUCCAAAUUCGAAUCCCUUUUAAUAGCUCUAUGUUAAUAAAUCAGAUGAAGUUUAUCUAAUACUGCUUCUCUGUCUUAAUGUAAAAUUUGAACCCUAUGUACAAAAUUUCUGAAAUUAACAAAUUAAUUCUAACAGCAUUUAUCUAGCUUGAAUCUUUAAAUAUACAGCGCUGAGUAGCUACAGGCUGACUUACUUACCUUCUGUGAAGAGAUAGGAAUAAUGUAUCCAUAAUGUUUUCUUCUGCUGUUUAUAGCCGUAGGAACAGCCAUCAAUAGAAAACUUCACAUUUCCCUAUGGUUUUUGCGGGGCAAACAUGUGGCUUUAUUACCUAUAAAGGAACCUUUUGUCAGCAGCUUUUACACUUUUAAGUGGUUUUAAAAGUAAAAAAAUUUGGAAUCUCUUUUAUAAUACUUUUGUUUUGAGUAUUUUAUAAUUUGAACUAUAUAAGGCAAAAAUUAUAGCAUAUGAAGUCUCAAAUGUAUACAUUUUUAAUAUUUUAUUGAAAUAAAGGCAAAAGAUAAACUCGAGGCAUUAUAUUAUUGGACCAGCUAGAAUAGUCAACAACAAUAUAUGACUGUGGUUCUACAGUCCUGUGAUUCUUGAGCCAGGCAAGUUUGGAACUGACACAGUUUUCCUGUUUCCUUCAUCAUUAGUCUGGCUCUGAUAUUUCCAUGGUGGUUUCACUCAAUGACUUUGGGUUAGUUUUGAUGAGAUCAGCCAACCAAAUGUGUUUGCUGUGUGAGCAACAGUGCUGGCGCCCAGGAAAUGUUCCCUCUACUCUCAAGAAUGGCAGUCCAGUAUUAAAGUUCAUUUCCAUUGCUUAAUCCAGUGUAAGGAAUAUUCUAGGCCAUAUUCUUCCUUUCUUGAUACUCCUAUAGACAGACUUUGCCUAUCUGCUCUUCAAAUCAGUAUCAAAGCCCUAACAACAUCUUGGUCUACCUCUUUAGAGAAGAUUGGUGUCUACAUAUGAAACUAACACCAAAAUGCUCAUACAGAUACAUGUGGAAGCAGAUGUGACACACCUUUCCUGUCAUCAAAACAAUGUGAAAGUCCCCCUCUUUUCCAAUAAGCAGUAUCUGUUAUUUUCAGACAUAUCAAUAAACAUAUAAACUGUAUUAUUCAUCUUCAGAAACAAAAAUAAGGGAUUUCAAGUAGUAUCAGAUGAAGAGUAGCAGAAAAAGAGCUCUACUGUUUUGGAGAUAUGAAAUUGAUUAAAAGACCUGUGUGACAACUAGUUUUAGGAAGCAUGCAUGGGUGAGGGUAGGUUGUAUAGUCAAAAAAAGGAUUUCACUGCAGAUUUGAUAACAUCGUGUAGCCAGACAGCCCCCUGUUGGCUGUAUUGUUGUGGAGGUUCCAGAAGUGAAUUGUGCUUGAAUUCAGCAAUUCAUUACACUCAAAAAGCUCUUUUUUCAUUCCCAUAUCACAAACAGGGGAAAACAAACUGUGUUUGUAAAAAUUAGCUUUGAAUCAAGUUUUAUCUCUCUUGUGUAGGAGAUAAAUGUCAAAGCUUGAUUAAAUAGAGUUUCUGCAUUCAGUUUCUUAAUGUCUUUAUAGAAGCUUAUUUUAAAGAGCUGCAACGAAAGUGUAGAACAGUAGUUUGUCCUUGUGAUCAAACUUAAGACUAGCAUACUGUAAUGUCACAUUUGCAUUCUGGCUAAUGCAAAGUAUUUAGAUAAACUUCUGUCAAUAACGCAAGUAAUAGAUUUUAAAACAUAAAAGUUGUAAGUUAGCAGGGAGCUAGGCAGACAUAGGCUCCAGCCUUAUUUAAUGAGUGGGACUCUCACGCAUGUCUCUGAGAGCUUCUGCUAUUUAACAAAGUACAGUUUUACCAAGAAGCUUCUGUAUUUUUAAUUUGUUUGCUUUGCUUUAAUCUCUUCUUUUGUAAGUGGCUUAAAUUGCUACCAGUGCAGCUGGCUGCUUACUUCCAGUCUGUGUUAAGACACCAAAAACCUUGUUCUUCAAAAGAAAUAGGUGUCUAAAGUAUUGGAAAAUUGAAGGACACUUCUUAGGUGUUUUUACUUUUUUUUUUAAGUGUUUGUGAAGGGAACCUAAAAUCUGCCUUGUGAUAGUCCUGUAUAUCCAUGUGGUGAUGGAGUGCUGUAGAUACUGCAUGAAUGUAUGCAAGCACUUAUUUUCUAGAAUCUGAUAAUGCAUCUGUGCUUAAAGGGUUGAAAUAGGUGACCCAAGGAAACAUUCCAGGAAGAACUCUGCUUCGGAGGCACAGGAUUUUCUGCUCUGAGAUAAACAAUACAGACGUGAUCUCUCUGCACCAGGUAUGGCCUAGGUUAUCAAAGCUCACGUUCUUCUGAAGAAUUAGAUUUGUGCCUAAAACUCCACAGCUUCAACAGUAGCAGAGGAAUUUAUGUGAGAAUUAGCCUUCUGCCACAACACAGAACAGAAGAGUAGCAGGAUGCUGAGAAAGCCAAAGUGCUUGAGACCUCUUUCUUUCUCCCCUUCCCCUUCUGUACACAUUAAAAGACUGAUUGUCAUCAGAUAUUGUAUAACAUUUGGCAAAAACAGCAGAGGGUAAGAAUACAUACUGUGGUUAAAGAGUGAGAAUGGGAAAGGCAGGGACAGACCAAAAAGCUGCUUAAAAAUUAUAACCUACAAAAUUCCAUCAGAAGAAGUUAAAAAACUGGCUGAAGCAGUGUCAAGGUGAGGGAACUCUCCCAAGAAACAGAAAACCUGAGUUGCAUGUUCUUCAGAAGCCCAAGGGGAUUCAAGUUCACAUCUCCUGCUUCUGAAAAAGUGCCCAGUGGAAGCUGCCCACAGAUGUUCCCCAUCUUUCUUGUUAAAUCAAGGAUAUGUGCAAAACAGAAUAGAAAUCACAGAACGGUUUUGUUCAAAGGUUGUUGGCAGUGAUAACUAUUACUGUUAGCAGAUGAAAGCAAGCUGCAGGUAGGAUUUCAAAGGGUAGUGGAAUUUGCUUUUAUUGGACUAACUGUGCGGUUCCUUGCAAGUUCUUUUCCUAAGAUGUUUCCUGAAGUAACAGUAAAAUGAGCAUAAAAUAAAUGCAAGUACCUGUUAAAGCUCACUAAAGGAAUACCUUAUGUUUCCAGUAGAUGAACACCAAGAUAACUGAAUAUUUGUGAAUUGCAUUACAGACCUCUAUUAUGCCAAAAUUCUGGUUUUUAUUGCUAAAGAGAGUGCCAGUAAAGGUGACUUUAAACUGCUUUAUGCUCCUAUUUUCUCUAAAGCUGCUGAAAAAGGAAAGCAGGGAGGAACUAGCAGAGUUAAAGAAGUUCAUGGCUGUUCAACAACCAGCAAAAGGGAUUCACAUCUUCCUUCCUUCACUCUUUUUGCCUUUAUUUUUUUUGUUUUGUUUUAGGGUUGAGGAGGGGUGUUUGUUUGUGGUGGUUUUUGUCUGUUUGUGGGGGUUGGUUUAUUUUUCAGGAAGGUUUACAAUCUCCCUUCCAAGUCAGUGGAAUUAAUAAGAGCCUGUUCUGAGUGGAAGAAGAUUUAAAUAACUUAACCACAUGAGAAAAAUUACUCUUUUCCUCAUCUGAGGAAUGGUUACUUCAUUUCCAAAUUAGGAUUAAACUUUAGGACUUCUUCAAGGCUCUUGCAGUAUUUGUAACUUUUAUUUUGUUGAAGCAGUUCUAGUAGCUUAGGACAUAAUGGUUACUUGCAGAGCGUGAUAUUGAGAUCCCAUUAUUUUAUGCUUAUUCAGACAUAAAGUAAGUAGCCUGAGAAAGGCACUAUGUUAUGCUAUGAAAGUAUCCUCAGGCAGUUACCUCUAAAACUGCACCUUUUUCUCUUUAGUUAUGAGCGGUUGUCCAGAGCAGUGGAUAUUUUUAGUGGUAAUUGACAAAUUCUUAACUGUAUCUUUAUUUUUUCACAUUUAUUUCAGAGUUCCUUUAAAAAUAGCAUCUGGUCCUGGUGAUUUGUAGUGUUUGAGUUUCUCAGGCUGCCAACAGGCUCUUCCUUUGAGACAUCUAGGCCUGGUGAAACUACUCUGAUUCCCCAUAAAGCAUGUCCUCAGGAUAGGAAUUUCUCUGUCACCCUCUAUAUUAAAGCCAAAUAAUUUAUAUGGAGCUUCUUUUCUUUUGCCAAUUUCUUUCAUCCUCCCCUUGGUACUACAUAGACAAAACAAAAAAACCUUCCUGGAUUCAAAUACAUUUUAAGAAUACUUGGAAUUCUUCUGUGUGUGUGUGUUUGUGCAUUUGUACACAGGCACCACGUGCCAUUGUUGCCCCUGCAUCUGGUAUUCUCGUAGGGGAGGACGUUGUUCAGCAGCACCUGUGGCAGCAAUAACCACGUGUCAUUGUGCAAGAGCAGCAUUGGUCCUGCCGAACUCUUGUUCUAGCCUGGUGGCUACCAGCAGAGUUUUUCAUUAGCCAAUGAUAUACCGGGUAGUCUUUCAUUAUUCACUAAUUUAUACUUAUAUUAACAUUUAAAUAGCUGUUAAAAUUAGGUUUAGUUUUAGAAAUUGUAGUGUUUCUGUCGUUUUUCUGUUGGAGAAACAGCUUUAGCCUAGGGAGAGAAUUCUGUGUUGGUGCAUACCCUAUGAAUGAGCACAACCUCUCUAGCAUUCACUUGCUGUGUAAUGCAGUGGUGUUUAUUAAAGGCUACCUGCAUAAAAUGCAUUUUACUUGGCUUAAUGAGCAUCACAUGAAUUUUGUAAGAAGGCUGAGCAAGUAAAACAUCUUGCCUCAAGAUGUCACGGAUGAUACAGGCACCUGGCCUCUGGUUCUAGUUUGCCUGAGCAGAAACACUGAGAAAGACCAGAACUCUUUUGCUGUUCCCACUUCUUGCUCUAGGCUGUCAGCAAGUCUCCUAACAUGGCUAGACCUUGAUUAGAGAGUGACAAGGAACAGAACAUUUGCAAAACAGAUCCUGAUUUUCUCCUACAUAAAUUCUUCUGAAGUUAAGCAUAGCUCAAACCUGGGAACAGCAGACUGUCCAAUGAUGCAGAGUUGUAAUUACCUCAGAUAUUUCAUGGUGUGUGGUCUGCAGUUCUUGAAUCCCUCAGCAGCCUUGAUGCUAGAGCAGAAAUUAUGAGUAACAAUGACACCAAAAUUAAUUUUGAUAAGGUCUAAUCACCUUUGAAUCCUUCAGCUGAAAGCAGACAGCAAUCCUGCACUUCUCUGUCGAGUCAGGCUCAGAAUCACCCCUCAUACACCUCCGCGGAUGUCCAGCCUUCAGUGUUGAUUCAACUGUUCUCUAUUCUGCUGCUACUGAGAGAUCAUUUUCUAUAAAUUUACAUCAUCCUAUGGCAUUAGUUCCACAGAAAAUAUUCCUGUGCUCAGUCAGACCCAGAAGAGGACUGAAAGGUUCUUCUGUAAGGUUCUCUUUAGCUGGACAUUCUAUGCUAGGUGGAGAGGUCAGGUGUGGUUCACACAGGGCAGCUUAUAGAGAUGGAACUUUCUGCAUUUUUCAGCAUCUCUAUAUUCUCAUUAACAUCUCUUAAAGGCCAAGGGUCCUUGAGGUACCAUCUAGACCCUCAACUUCAGCCUUUGAAGAAAGCCUAUUGCUGCUAUGUCACCAACUGUCCAAGUAGCAUCCGUGUCCACAUUUCGUUCUCUGUUUCUCCCUCUACAAGGCAGCUCCUGACUCAUUACCUGCAUCCAAUGAGUACAAAGCCUUCAAAGAUCCAAUUGGCAGGACACUUUUACCAAAUACCAAAAGCAUUACUAAAUGCCAUCAGACUGGAACGUUGUCUCAGGACAGCCUUCUCUGGAAGGAAAGCUGUCUCCAAUUACAGCAAAAUUGACACUUGGAGCAAAAAGAAGACAAAGUUUUGUCUCUGCUGCAGAAAGAGUUGUCUUCCCAAAAUGAGGGUCCUAGACCACAAAGCUGUACAAGCUAAAUAGGGUAUUAUUAAUUCGUAUUUGUAAGUACUAAUUUAAAAUGGUAGGAAUUGUCACGGAUGUCUAGGGAGGAAUUUACGUAUGAUGCAGCAGAGACCAUUUAUAGCAAUAACAACUUUUCCAGAGACAGAUAUCUUUAUAGACAACUUCUUUUUGGAUUUUCUGAAGUACGAGCAGCUAUUCAAUGCUUUGCAAUCUGUUCGUAUAGACAAGGUUGUGCACGCUCCUCUCAGGUCCACAAGAGAGAAAACCCCAGUUCACAAGCACAGGUGUUAUGGAGCAUAGGGUUUCCAACCAUAUAGACCUAUGUGCCCUUCAGCAAAGCAGCCCAAAACUUAGGAAAAAAAGAACAAACCCUUGUGUGUAGCAGUUCACCUGCUUCUUUCAUCAAUGUGGCAGUGUCUGACCAUUUAAUCUGGAUGUUCCAUCUUUUCCUUUCAACCACUGAAGUGAGUUUCUAACAGGUCAGUGCCUACCAGCUGCUGCAGAGACAGGCUUGUGUAUUUUAUUUUAGUCACCCAUUGACUUUGUUUUGUCCCAGGGCAUUUUAAUCAUUAGUAACAUCACUUAUUUUCCUAUGGAAAAGAAAUUCCACUUUAUCUUUUAAGAGAGGGGGGAAAGGUGGUAAUGACUCAAUUCCAGUACAGUGUUCACUUUGCCUGUCCCGUAUCUCAAGAGACAUGAAAACACACAUCUGAAAGAUCAGAUAGAGAGUCAUGUUGUCAGCUAGCAGUCUUUCAUCACCAGGUUACAAUGCUCUGCUCAGAGUUUUCAGAAUAGUUCUUUCCAUGUUGUUAUCCACCCAGCCUGAAGGCACUGUGUGGUAUUUGCAUCAGAAGUCCUCACCUCCAGUAAAGGGUCUGUGUGCUUGUCACCACUUAUUUCAGAUGAACAGAAAUCCACAUCUUCAUGUCCUGGAUGCUUCAGAUGUGAACUCCUGUGAACUGUCAUUAGAUCCUCCACUCAUGGCUGUAUCUUGGCACUGAAAGUAGACAAGAAGUCAGCAUAGAUGCCUCCAAAGAACAUAGGUGAUGAAAACCAUAGCAGACUGAUGUUCCUUUAGUCUGGUACAAUUUCAUGUGAUACUCAGCUUUUCUGUUGAAUCUCCAAGCCUACCUCAGGGGUUCAGUGAGAGCAUGUGUUGGGUUUUCAAUAGCUAAGCACAAGAGACUGCCACAGCACAGCUUGUAGGGGAAGCUAUAACCAACAGAGCGGCUGGUUAGUGCAUUUUCCAGCCAAGGUUCUGUAGAGAAUAUCUGAAAUGAAAGAUGAGUCUAGCAAAAAUAUGAUCUUUUGCCCAUCCAUUUCCACGUGUAUCUGUAGAGAUCUUGGGACUGCUUAUGGAUCGCACUAUGACACUUCAAUUGUCAAAGAAAACUCUUAUUGAAUAACAGCAGAAAACAGCAUUAGCCCAACCAAAGCUGGGAGAAGAAUCUCUGUUACAUCAGGGCUACAUCCAUCAUCCUUCUGACCAGAAAGAAGUCACCAAUUAUUGAACCAUUGCGUUAGAAUGGAAACUGACCAGAACUGGAGGAAGGAUUCUUGGAAAAAUUUACACAUCAGAUCACACUUCAGGGGGUUAUUUCAGCAGAAACUACACCGUGGUCUAGAAAACCGACAUUCCUUUUUUUUUUUUUUUUUAAAUAGAAGUCAGAUUUAUUUGUAUUUUAUGUGAUGGCUGGUGAUUCACAUCCCACCCACCCAUUUGAGAAUAUUCCGGGCUCCAGGCAUAUCUUCAGCCAGUUCCAGACUAUUCAAAUUGCUGUUGGUCCAUCCAUUUACUCAUCACAACAAGGCCUUCUGUGACUAAUUAUGGCCUGACUGCAGCAGGAGAGGCAGCUUCAAAGAAUGGGAGUCUUCAGACACACUAACAGUACCCUUGGUUCCCAAAUUCUUUAUUUAUGUGGAUUACACUGAGUUGACAGAUUUAACUGGGCUGAUGAAGAUAUGGUCAAAGAAGCAGAGUCACUCCCUUCCCUUUUAUUGUUUUCUGAAGACGUAAGAGUCAUACACAUCUGUCACUGGAGAGAGGAAGUUCUCCAUCACUGGACUUGAUUUGGGCUUUUGUACGCUGUUUCAGUAGCAUCUGGGAAUAGAUCAAUAUAAUAUUUGGUAGGGAGUUGUAUUUCCUCGUGAUGCACUGUAAAUCUUUUAUUGUAGAUACUCCCACUGUUUAUUGUUGAAAAUCAAUAAAAAUAAACCUUGUAAAGCUAAAACAUGGCAAUUGUUCUACAGAAAACAGAGAGAAGGCAUAAGAGGCAGAGUCUCCCUGCCCCUCUUGGAUACCUCCCAGCUUGUUUCUCUAUGAAUAUUCAGUAACACUUUCCAACAAUUUGGGAACAAAUUAAGAAAAACAAAAAUCAAAAUUAUGAACGCUUCAUUGUGAUCUCAAACAGGAUUUCUGAUCCACUUUGGUGGCUGUUACUGUCACCCAGGCUGUGUGUUGGACAUACCUUUGGCUUUUCACUUCGAGGGACAGACAAAAGCACAUCAGCCUUGCUCAGCUCAGAUUAUACAAGCUAUAUUUGAACACUGGAAAUGUGGAAACUAACCAAAAUAGGUAAAAAGUGGGAACAGCCCAAUGUGGAGAAAAGCUCCUCCGAAGUCAGAAGCAGAAGUUACUACCCCUGUUUACAAGCCUGUAGAAGCAGGGCAAGAUGCAAUUACUCAGCAUCAUUCUUUUGCCCUAUAGCUAUUCAUUCCUCAUAUACUUCAUCUUAGGGUGGAACCUCCUACUAUUUUCAUGAGAUUCAACUACGCAUGGAAGUGAAAACCAGUCUGGAAUUAUUUAGUAAAGGGAAAAACUUCCCAGUACUAAGACGAGCACUAAGAGAUCAGUCUUUUUUUAGUCUAAGCAUAGUAUAAACUGCAAUAGCUUUAUUUAAACUUCCGGUCUUAAUCAGUUAUACAGUCUUAGGAGCACCAGCGGUAGAACCUGUAAGAAUACAGUGACUUCACUUCCUAAAAUAACAAAAACCCUGCUGAAUUGUCAUAUUGAAAUCAAUACUUGAAGAACAGGACGGUGUUUCACGUCAGACUCUCUCCUCCCUGGUAUCAGCAGAUUCCUGAACAGUUCAGGUGGUAAAUAAAUGACAUGUCACCAAAAGACAUCAGAAGGACAUAAGAGAAUUUCCCAGUAUGUGAAGAAGCAGACAAAAAGUUACUUAAAAGCACAAAAAUAUAAUCAAAUACUAUGAAAGGACAUCAACACGGUGCAAGAACGGUGGAAUAAAAAAAGUGUGGUGUCUUUGUCCUGUCGGGAUAUCCAACAGGCACUAGAGGACUGUAUUGAUAAAGCCCUUGAUAGUCUUAAAUAUAGAAAUACAGGAUUAAAUCCAACUAUGAAAGAGGGAAAAGUGACUAAAAUAAGAAAGAAAAUGUAAGACAAAUGAGGUGGUGUCUUGCUGAAUCAUCUACCUUUUGCAAAUCCAGCAAGCUCUCUUUUUAAACUAUCUACUUCUGCCAUGUAAACUUCAGCCUGUGUAGGAUGGAAUGAUGGUGUUCUUACCUUUUAGCUUCCUUCCCCUCUAGUGAAUUUACUGUUCUGGUGGUCCUCUUGUGUGUCAGAGCAGAAGAGAGCUCACUGAGGGCUGUAAGUGAGUACUACGGCCAUCAACUCCAAGCAUCUCAAGCAGCGGAACAGUUUGCACAUUUUUACUGAAUCCAAGGCAGAGUAAAAAGGCAAAUAUAGCAGUAACUUUACUGAAAUCAGCAAAUUUUGCACCUUCCCAGGAAAAAGGAAUACUCUUGAGAAAUUUGGCAACAAUUUGAAGAAGUAGAUCAUGUCAGGGAUCACAAAUUCCAACCUCAUUGGAAAAAAUGUCUAAAUGUUUCAAAUCCCAUUCCUAUUUAAUCAAAAAUAGAGCUAGACAGGAGUGAGCAAAGCUCCUGGUUCUGUUGAAUGUAAAAGCAUGACCAAGUCACGUACAACAUACUUCUGGUCCAGCAGAGAUUGUGUUAUGAGAUACUAGAGGGAGAUACCAGAGUGAGAUACCUGCCAAGAUUUGGGUGAAAGUACUCAGUUUAAUGCAUCAUCUGGUUUUGACCAGGCGGUUUUUAAAAUGACUCAGACUCAUAGCUAGUCUGGGCUCCCAUCAACCACAUUCACUUCUAUGUGCACAGCUGUUCUCUUAGAAUGAAUCACAGAAUGUCCUGAGACCCACAAGGAUCAUCGAGUCCAACUCCUGUCCCUGCACAGGACAACCCCACAGUUCACACCAUGUGUCUGAGGGUGUUGUUCAGUCUCUUCUUGAACACUGUCAGGCUUGGGGCUGUGACACCUCCCUGGGGAGCCUGUUCCAGUGCUCCACCACCCUCUGGGGGAAGAACCUUUUCCUCAUGUCCAACCUGAACCUCCCCUGGCACAUCUUCCUGCCAUUCCCUCGGGUUCUGUCAUUGGUCACUAAAGAGAAGAGAUCAGUGCCUGCCCCUCCUCCUCCCUUUGUGAGGAAGCUGUAGCCACCGUGAGGUCUCCCCUCAGUUUCCUCCAGGCUGAACAAACCAAGUGACUUUAGCAGCUCCUCAUAUGGGUUCCCCUCCAAACCCUUCACCAACUUCAUAGCCCUCUUCUGGACACUCUAGCAGCCUAAUAUCUUUUUUAUCCCAGUGGCACCCAGAACCGCACACAGUGCUCCAGUGAGGCCACGCCAGUGCAGAGCAGAGCGGGAAAUGCACCAGCGUCACCCACUCUGCUGCUGACGCACCACAGGCUGCUCCCUGCUGCAUCCCUGCUGGUUCAGGGCCUCAGAAGGGCAGGUGCAGAAAAAAUAUUGGCCACUACUUCCAAAUAACUGCCUGGGUGCCUGCGCAAUACGCAUGCUGCACAUGCUGCAAAGAGGGCACCGAAAAAUCACAAUCCUGGUUCAGCAACACUUUACUGUAGCCUAAAUAAUCUUGCAAGGUGGAGGGCAGAAGCCACCCAGGCCAGCUGAAGACCGUUCUAGUAAAUUGAUGCUACUUUUAUAUGCAUUUGUCUGCAAACGGACAUGCUUUCACCCCUUCCUCUGUAAUUACUGACAUAUAAUUGUAGCUUGAAGAUACACCUGGAGCUCUGCCAUCACUGCUUCCACUUUUUGUACAACAAAAUCCAGCAAGGUGCUUUUCUUUGACAAACCAGCUUAAUAUCAAAUUAUCUUAAAUUAAAAGCCAUGGUUAUCCUACCAGUCUCAGUCAGACACUUUCACCAAAUUUCUAUCAGGUUAUUGACACAGAUACACAUACUCGCAAACUUAUUUAAGCAACUAUCAGUUAAAAAAUAAAAACACACCCAAAAGCAUUGUAUAAGAGCCUCAUCACAUUUCCUGCAGGUGCACAAAUGACUAAAGGUGGCACUUCCCAGUUCAGCGCUAAGUGAGUGCAAACGCCAGAACACUGGGAAUCCAAACUGGCUGAUGCUUGUGUGCUUCGCUUCAAAAAGCUGCAUAGCCUCACAGUACGUUGUCACACAAGGUCCAGGGGCUGCUACAGCAAGGAAAAUAAAUUCACUACUUCUGCGGUAGAUGGAGUAGCCUAAUUUUGUUACUACAAGGCGUUCUGAAACUACUCUCAGUUUACACUGCUGCUGUCAGCGAUUGUUUAAGCACUGAAGAGCAGCUUUAAUGCCUUUGGAGAGGACAGAGGGGUAUUCUGCAAGAGACAGUAACACCGUUAUGUCACAAACACUGGUGGUGGCUUCACAAAGCCACUUUCUCAUGUCUGGAGCCACACAGCGAUCUGACGUGGGAUGUUUGCACUACACCCCUUUCAGCUGACGGCAUCAGUGUGUGUGUAUCUUUUGAAAGGAGAAGCAAUAUUCAAUCGUUGAGGUCUGCAUUCCUCCUCCAGUCACUUCUCCACACCACUGGGACUACAGUUGUGUCAAGUUUUUAUUUCUUCAUGUAUUAUCAUGUAUUUAAAAUCUACUUACAGACUAGCAUAGAACAUAAAAAUUAUUUUCUAGAAGGAAUGGCUGAUUUUUGCGAGUACUGAUAAAAAUUUUAGCCCCAAAGAAAAACAAAAACCCUUGAAAAUGCUGGACUCUGGUCCACAAAACCAGGAUAGAAUCUCUGACUAAAUAAGAGUUGAAGAAGGUGGAGCAGUAACUGGCAAGAAAGCCAGGGUUUUUUUUCUCAAUAGUUGAAAACAAAAAGUAUUUGUUUGUCACUUCCCUCAGUAGUUGCAGUUUCAAACAACCCAGCAAAAACGGCCACUAGUGCUGCCAAAGCUCUCUUCCACCUUUGAAAGACGAAAGCACAAAGUUUUAUUUCCCUUUCUGCACUUGGCUUUUCUUUGCCUGUGCAACCCUGGAGCUCCCCGGGGUUUGGUUCACCGUCACUGUAAGGCACGCUGGCCUCUGCAUCCUUUCCAAACUGUAGCAUUCGACUUUAUCUUCACUGGAGACCAUCCUGGUACUUACAAGGUGAAAUCCAUUUUUGAAUAAAGUGUCAAGCAGCAAGCCCAGCACAUUAGUACCGUUAAUCAGCUUUCUGUCAUCAGGCUUUAUGGAAACAUACCUGAAAUAAGAAAAAAGCAGUUACAACACGCUUUAAUUAUUUCUUAAAGAAUGGAAUCAGAUUAUUUUUUUUUUAAACAAACCAGGUCCUUGGAGGAUGCAAGUCAGCACAAUUGCACAGGUUUACAGCAAACAAGGUUCUGGGGUUUUUUUCCCUCCUUUAAGGACACUUUAACUCUUUCACUUGUUAUAAGAACAGUAAUUCCCAGCUUGUCCAUUUAUGCAUUAGAGGAAACACCUCUCAGCAUCUCAAUAAAACCUGCUUAAGAAAUA
Molecule: long non-coding RNA, 50862 nt
Organism: Columba livia (rock pigeon)
Lineage: Eukaryota; Metazoa; Chordata; Aves; Columbiformes; Columbidae
Exons: 10
Source: RefSeq, a predicted model, not a curated record